CCACACAUGACUUCGUAUAUGCUGGCUUAGCUGCUUCAGGAAACACCACAAACAUUAUCAAUGCUGCUGUAACACCUGCAUUUGUUGCUCAAUUCCCAGGUCUAAAUGGCCUUGGUCUUUCUGCAGCAAGGUUAGACAUUGCUUCUGGUGGUGUAAUCCCUCUUCAUACUCACCCUGGUGCUUCUGAGUUAUUGAUAGUAACACAAGGUCGUGUCACUGCUGGGUUUAUAACAUCAGAUAAUUCAGUUUAUGUGAAGACACUUUCAAAGGGAGAACUUUUCAUUUUGCCACAAGGGUUGUUGCAUUUUCAAUUAGGUUAUGGUAAGAGAAAAGCUGUUGCUUAUGCUGUUUUCAGUAGCUCAAGUCCAGGGCUUCAAAUACUUGAUUUUGCAUUGUUUGCAAGCAACUUUUCUUCUUCUUUGAUUACACAGACUACUUUCCUUGACCCUGAACAAGUGAAGAAGCUUAAGAGUGUUCUUGGUGGUAGUGGCUAGACCUUUUUAGUUUGGUUGUUCAUGAAUCAUUGAUUCAUUGUUUUACUUAAAACAUUCCUUGUGUUGUUUCAGUUCAUUGGAAUUUGUGUAGGUUGCCCUAGUCAUUAAGUACCUUGUAUCAAUGUGUUUCAGUUAAUUUUCAUUGUUGCAAAUCUCAAUGUCAAGAUUAUUUCAAUGUAACUAUGUUUUGAAGGGUUUGUGAAUGUUUAUGGGUAAUUUUAUCCAAUAGCCUCCCAUGUUUUAAAUUGUAAUUAAGUUGUGUUUAUUACAAUUGUGGAAAAUUAUAAUUGAUAAGACUAUAAUUAUAAUCAUAACAUCAUUGUGAGACUCUCAAACUAACUAUAAUAUUAUAGUCAUAAUUUAAGUUAUAAAGUACAAUUUAAAAUAAUGACCCUCUAUGUCAACUGUGCAUGUCAAUUUUAAAUUGAUAUGAAGUUUUAUUUUAUUAAUAUUCCUUUGUAAAAGUUGGUAGUUGUCUUUUAUUGUAAUACUUUAGUUAUAAUUGUCCAUACGUCAUAAAGUUCGAUUCAGUUGCUACUAACUCAUCCUAAACAUUAACAUAGUUGUACAAAAUGCUAGCAGAUUAUUAUAUGGUACACAUACCUUGUGUCUUUAUAAGUACAUAAUUAGUUUCAGAGUUAAUUUUCAAAUGUCUUCAUAAAAACAGAUUUAGUUGUAUUAUAUUAUCUAGAAAACAAUUUACACUAUUAAUCAUUUAUAUAUUACCAUAUCAUUAAAAAUAUUUAACUUGUUAUCUUAAUUAAUUAUAUUUUAAGUCACACUUAUAGUAAUUUAUAAUUGGUUUGUAGUGUAAAAACUUUUAUUAAACUUAAAUGGAUAUAACAAUAAUUAUCAAACAAAAGGAGUGCUAGCAAUAAAUCCUCUAACACACUUGUUCUCUACUAGAACAUAAAGAUAUAGACAAUGGUUGAUCAGUUGUUGAGGAGGGAGAAGAGGAUAAUCGUCAAAGUAGCAGGAUGAGGUAGGAGAGCUGGAUUGAAGAAUGUGCUUCAAGUUGCUUUUGUAGCAAUCAUUUAGCAUUUGUCAUCAUUUAUUAAAGCAUCUUUAAGAAUUUUGCUACUUGCAGACUAAAUUGUGUACCCCAACUUUACAUUGAUUAUGCAACAAUGUUAUUACAAGUUUGAUCAUACUAGUAAAAUUGUACAACUUCUUUAUAAAGCAGAAGGGCAAAAAUAAGAAGAAUUUUUUUAUACGAGGCUUAUUUCUUUUCUUAAAAGAAAGUUAUACAAAAUUGACAUAACUAAUUGAAGUUCACUCCAUAAUAUACCCAUUAACAUUCUAAUAAUUGGUUAUUAUUCUUAAUUAUUACAAAUGAUUCAUAUGAUUUUUUUAGUUUUGUUAGUUUUUGGAACACAUCAAGGUCAAAUUAGACCUUAGUGAUAAAAAAUGUUAUUGUGACAUAAUUUUAGAUAUUUAUUCAUCGAUGAGGGAUCAUAUUUAUAAUGAGAUUAAGACUUAUCAUUUCUCAUCUCAUUUUAGAAUAUGACUUAUGAGUCUAAUCCACUUAAUAUUAAGUUUUUGUACUACUAAGGGUAUUCUUUUAUAUUUUUAGGUAAAGAACUAAUCUCUUUUGGGUUUCGUUGCUGGCUCUCAAUAAGUAUAAUUCCCAGGAAUCAAAUAUUAAAUCUUAAGAAUCUAAUGAAGCCUUAAACCACUAGAUCAACGCCUUUUUGAUUACUAAUACCAUUUUAGAUAUGACUUAUGAGUCCAAUGAGUAACUUUGUAUCACACCAUAAUUAAUCCAACAACUUGCAACAAAAGCUCCUCCUAUAUAUAACAUAGCUAUGCAACUAGCUAAUCCCACAUUCCCACCCAACAACACAAAAAAUCAUACAACAAAAAUGCUUCACAUUCUUCUCCUCCUCCUUCCUCUUCUCUUAUCCAUUUCCAAUGCUUCUGUCAAUGAUUUCUGUGUAGCAGACCUUAAUGGUCCAGAUGGUCCUUCAGGCUAUCCCUGCAAGCCUCCUACAAAAGUAACCACACAUGACUUCGUAUAUGCUGGCUUAGCUGCUUCAGGAAACACCACAAACAUUAUCAAUGCUGCUGUAACACCUGCAUUUGUUGCUCAAUUCCCAGGUCUAAAUGGCCUUGGUCUUUCUGCAGCAAGGUUAGACAUUGCUUCUGGUGGUGUAAUCCCUCUUCAUACUCACCCUGGUGCUUCUGAGUUAUUGAUAGUAACACAAGGUCGUGUCACUGCUGGGUUUAUAACAUCAGAUAAUUCAGUUUAUGUGAAGACACUUUCAAAGGGAGAACUUUUCAUUUUGCCACAAGGGUUGUUGCAUUUUCAAUUAGGUUAUGGUAAGAGAAAAGCUGUUGCUUAUGCUGUUUUCAGUAGCUCAAGUCCAGGGCUUCAAAUACUUGAUUUUGCAUUGUUUGCAAGCAACUUUUCUUCUUCUUUGAUUACACAGACUACUUUCCUUGACCCUGAACAAGUGAAGAAGCUUAAGAGUGUUCUUGGUGGUAGUGGCUAGACCUUUUUAGUUUGGUUGUUCAUGAAUCAUUGAUUCAUUGUUUUACUUAAAACAUUCCUUGUGUUGUUUCAGUUCAUUGGAAUUUGUGUAGGUUGCCCUAGUCAUUAAGUACCUUGUAUCAAUGUGUUUCAGUUAAUUUUCAUUGUUGCAAAUCUCAAUGUCAAGAUUAUUUCAAUGUAACUAUGUUUUGAAGGGUUUGUGAAUGUUUAUGGGUAAUUUUAUCCAAUAGCCUCCCAUGUUUUAAAUUGUAAUUAAGUUGUGUUUAUUACAAUUGUGGAAAAUUAUAAUUGAUAAGACUAUAAUUAUAAUCAUAACAUCAUUGUGAGACUCUCAAACUAACUAUAAUAUUAUAGUCAUAAUUUAAGUUAUAAAGUACAAUUUAAAAUAAUGACCCUCUAUGUCAACUGUGCAUGUCAAUUUUAAAUUGAUAUGAAGUUUUAUUUUAUUAAUAUUCCUUUGUAAAAGUUGGUAGUUGUCUUUUAUUGUAAUACUUUAGUUAUAAUUGUCCAUACGUCAUAAAGUUCGAUUCAGUUGCUACUAACUCAUCCUAAACAUUAACAUAGUUGUACAAAAUGCUAGCAGAUUAUUAUAUGGUACACAUACCUUGUGUCUUUAUAAGUACAUAAUUAGUUUCAGAGUUAAUUUUCAAAUGUCUUCAUAAAAACAGAUUUAGUUGUAUUAUAUUAUCUAGAAAACAAUUUACACUAUUAAUCAUUUAUAUAUUACCAUAUCAUUAAAAAUAUUUAACUUGUUAUCUUAAUUAAUUAUAUUUUAAGUCACACUUAUAGUAAUUUAUAAUUGGUUUGUAGUGUAAAAACUUUUAUUAAACUUAAAUGGAUAUAACAAUAAUUAUCAAACAAAAGGAGUGCUAGCAAUAAAUCCUCUAACACACUUGUUCUCUACUAGAACAUAAAGAUAUAGACAAUGGUUGAUCAGUUGUUGAGGAGGGAGAAGAGGAUAAUCGUCAAAGUAGCAGGAUGAGGUAGGAGAGCUGGAUCCGCCGGUGGAGGUACCUGAAAAGGUUUUCCGACGAUCAAGUCAGUGUAUGAACUAAGUGAAAUGGGGAUACGAGAGUAGAGAGGGUAGAUAGCAGUAGAAUGAGUAAUGUUAAAGAGUAAAGAGGUUAAGAUACUUUCUGUUGGUGGAGAUCCCUAUUUAUAGCAGGGAGAGUUGACUUUGGAUUCUUGACAGAUGGUGCGACGCGUGGCCGACCAAAGGUAUUGUCGGGGACUGCUUUCUCUGUGUCAGGCGGUCUGCCAGGACCGUACACUGUGCCAUUCUUGUCUUUUAACCUGUGGUUGGUUUGGCAGCCGUUCUGCAGCCUGUCUGCCGGGUUGGCAGGAGCCUGUCUGCCGGGUUGGCAGGUGGGUUGGUGAGGUACGAAAGGCAUGCUGUCUCUUAGGUCAACUCUGGUGGUCCCAAUACGCUGGGCCCACCUCGGCGACCAAGUAUGUGACUCCUCGGUUCGCCGGGUAGGAACAACACUCUUUUAACAUUUAGUGUCAUAUUAGUCCAUGUGAUUAUUAAUUUUUUAAAGAAUUUAUUAUUUAUGCCUUGAUUGUGCAAUUGGCCACAAAAAAUCAUAUGAGAGCACAUCUUCUAUCAUAAAAAAGUGUAUCACUCUAUAUAUCUCUUACUUGUAAUUGAUUGAAAAAUUAUAUUUAAAUUAAAAUUUUAAUAAUUAAUAUUUUUCACACUAAUCACCACAAGUAAUUACAAAUUGAUAUAUCAAUUAAUGGAAGUUUAUAUCCAACGAGCUCCAGAGAUUUGUUGGUUGAUGUUAACAGUAAAAGAAGUUUCAGAGCCAAAGAGGUAGCACAGGCAUUCAGAGUUUCCAAAUUAACCCCUGCAAACUUUCACCAAAUGCACUAUUUCUCUAUGUAAAGUUCUUGAUUAUAAAACUAUUUGUAUGAUUGGGGGCUUGCUAUUGUUUCAUCUUCUGUGUACUUAAAAAUGUUUAAAAGUUAUUAAGAAGAUAGCACUAAAGACAUUGCACUUUGGAUUAAAAGACCUAGUCAACAAUUCCAUUUGCAAAUCUACAAUGAAGAAUGAAGAUACACAACUGUCGGCUGCCAAUUCUGGACCAAAUUUGAAUUAACCACACAAACCUGAAUUUAGGCUAAAAUAUUAUAUUUAAUAACAUGUUUUUUUAAUUACUAGUAUUUACCAAUAAGACGUUGAUCUAGUGAUAUAAAACUACAUUUGAUCCCCAAAAGAUUUAUGAUUUAAUUCUCGUGAGCGAUAUUUAUAAAGAGAGACAAUCGCACCUCGAAAGAGAUUGAUUCAUUGUUCAUAAGGUAAUAUGAUAUCAUUGGUAGUACAAAAAAAUUACUAGUCUUUAAUACCAUCUCAAACAAAUCAAAUACUUGGGAGAUUAUACACAUUUUUAACCUGGGAUUACUACAAAGUAACAUGUUAGAUUUAUAUGGUCUAGGAACAAAUAUUAUAUACAAACGAAAUUCCAAGGUUCAUUCCAUAGGUGAAUUUAAGAUGCUUGUACACUGCAACUGGUUAAAUUAAAGAUGCAUGUACACUGCAACUGAGAAAAUUGCAAAUCCUAGGUGUAUGAUAUUAAUGAUAGUGAUGAUGAUAAGAGAGAGUCUCUUGUAGAGGGAGACGGGGGCUACAAUUAACCUAUGCCAACCUAAGCCCAUAAACAAGCAACCGUUCAUCAAGAUUCAAAAAUUCUUACUGAAUCUCGAAUCUCCUGACGACAAACGGGACACUUGGGUGCCACUUCACGUUCAACUGAUACAGCACACCGAUGGCAGCAUACAAGAUGCCCACAGGGAAUGAAAGCAGAGCGCCUUCUCCUCAUCAGGCAUACAACACAUAAUUGUCCAUCUGGGACAUCUUCAUUUUCGUCUUCCAACUGAUAAACAAAAUCACCACUCACAUCUUGCCUUUGUUGCUGGAGCUCCCGCUGCUGUUUCCACUGCUUCCACUUAUUCCAGUUCCUGAAUACAGACGACAAAAAUUUAAUUAUCUUGAAAUCAACUCUAACCAUCACCCAAAAUCAUCAAUAAAUCAUUUCAGUGUGUUUUAAUCGAGUAAUAUAAGAGAAUGGGUGUAUUUUUUUGGCAGGGUUUAAUUCCUUCAUUUCAAAAUCCAUUGUUUGGAUAAGUACAUGAAGCAUUCAACAAAUCCUGGAAUUUUUUCAGGUAUUUUUUCCAACUGAAAACAGUGCAUCUUGAAUUCCACCAAAAUAGGUGAAAUUUUAAUUCCGCCCCAAAACGUAUCAAGUCUCAACCUUCCCCUCUUCAUCCCAUUUUCUCCCUUCUAGCUCUGUGCUUAUUCUGUUAUCAUAUCUUCAUGGUUUUGGCUUCUGCUUCUAUACCUUCAGAACUCCAUAACCCUCUUCUCUAUCACGUUCAUAAAGGGAAUCAACAGGUAGAUCAGUUUAGUGUAUUGCAACAUGUUGAUUGAGAAGAAAACAUGCUGGAGUCCAAAUGAUGAUGGCAAUGCUUCCAUGGUGAUUUUGUUGGUAUAGAUUAAAGGAUUGAUGUGUGAAUCUAUUGAUUGUGGUGGAAAGUUAGGCACGCCCGCUUAAUUGGUUAAAUGACAUAAUAAAAUUCUCAAACUUUUUUACAUCAUCCAAACAGAUAUUUGAUACAUUCUAGAAUUUUAAAUUGCUUCAUUUCAAUUUCUGGAAAUUUAAAAUGCUCUCGAAUUUCUAAUUUCUCCAUCCAAUUACACUCAAAUACGAUGAUAAAAAUAACCAAACUUUUAUCUCACUAGGUGGAGUCGACUAUAUGAAUCGAACGGCGACAUAAUAUUCUGUCAUAAAUCAUGUUCAUUCACAAAACAUUGAUCUUUAUUUCUUUCUAUAUCAUUUCGCCUCUGUUUUUCUUAGUCUCCUUCCUCUAGGAACUGGACUAGCUUCGAUUUGAUAUAUUCACUUUACAGGUGCUUCUACUGGUUUUCUCCAUACAUUACAAACUACCUAAGACACGAUUUUACCAUCUUUUCUACAAAAGGAGUUACUAAACUUUCUCCUUAAUGCAUUCAUUUCUAAUCCUAUCUUGUCUAGUGUGUCUACGCAUCCAACACAAUAUUCUCAUCUCUGGUACAUGGAGUCUAUUCUCUAGUUGACAUUUUGUCACCCAAUAUUUAGUCUCAUAUAAUAUUAUAGAUCUUAUAGUCUUGUAGUAAAACUUUCACUUAAGCUUGAGUGAUACAUUUUUAUUACAAAUGACACAUAAAGCACUCUACCAUUUCAUUCAACCCACUCGAAUCUUAUGGUUCACAUCUUUGUCAAUUUCCUUAUUGUCUUGUAUGGUUGACUCAAUAUACUAAAUCUAGUAACUUGUGGUUGAUAUGGUCCUCAAUCUUUACUUCUACAAUAAAGUUUGUUCGCCUCUUGCUAAACUUACACUCCAUAUACUCUAUCUUAUUUCGACUUAUACAAAAUUCAUGUGCUUUUAAAGUUUGUCUCCACAUUUCUAGCAUCUCAUUUAAUUUCUCCCUCGAGUCUCCCACUAAUACAAUAUCAUCUGCAAAAACAUGAAUGUGGCACUGGUUCUUGGAUAUGCUCAGUGACAGCGAGCACAUCCAAGAUCAAUGUAAACAAGAGCUUAAUAGUGACCCUUGGCAUAGUCCUAUGACAAUAAUAAAAUCUUCUGAGACCUUGUUUUGUGUUCUCAAACUGGUAUUGACCACAUCAUACAUAUCAUUGAUUGCUCGAAUAUAGACAAUUUAAAUACCUUUCUUCACCAGAGCUUUCCACAAAAUCUCUUUAAGCACCUUAUCAUAUGUAUUCUCCAAAUCAAUGAAAACCAUAUGUAAGUCCUUUAGUUUCUUCGAUAUCUUUCCAUGAAUUGUUGAAGCAAAUAUAUAGCCUCUAUGGUCAACUUCAUCAGCAUAAAUCAAAUUGGUUGUCAAUUAUAUUCAUCUCUUAUCUCAACUUCCGCUUAAUUAUCUUCUCCCAUGGCUUUAUAGUAUGACUCAUGAGCAUAAUCCUCCUAUACUUUACACAAUUUUGUAUGUCACUCUUGUUCUUAUAAAUAGAGAUUAAGAUAUUUCUCUUCCACUCGUCACAUCUUCUUAGACCUUAUAAUCUCAUUAAACAACCUUGUAAGACAUGUAAUGCUCUGCUCUCCUAGAACUUUCCACACCUCAAUAGGUAAUUACGUAUAUUAUCAGGUCCAACCGUUUUGUCAUUCUUCACCAUUUUCAAAGUUUCUUUCACCCCAACUCCCAUGUUCUACGAUAAAAAUUAUAAUUUUGAUCCUUCACUUUUGUGUGUAGUCUAUUAGAAAGCAAUGAAUUAUGUCCCUCACUGAAAAGCUUGUGAAAAUAUAUCUUCCAUUUUUCUUUCAUAUCUUUAUCUUUCACCAAGGCUUUCCCAUCUUCGUCUUUAAUGCAUUUCACUUGGUCCAACUCUCUUGUCUUUCUUUUUUUACCCUUUGCAAGUCCAUAGACACUUCUUUCCUCUCUCUUGAUACCUAGAGAUUUGAAUAACCCGUCAUACGUUUUUUUCUUUAGCUUCGUUUACCACUUUCGUGUGCUCUUUCUUAGUUACCUUAUUCAGCUACAAUCAAAUCAGUGCUAAAAUUCUGACUAUUAUCAAAAGAAAAGGCAUCAUUAUGUGGCAACUAAUUUCAAAAACCUUUCUUCUACAGUCAUCAUCAUGACAGUCUUUACCAAGAAUCUACUCUACUACUUCAUAUUCUCAACAAAUUCUAUGUCCAGACAUAAUUACUGAAAUCCAAAAUAUCACGUAAACAAUUAGGAAUAAAUGAGCAGGUAGGGCAGACCAACAUACCUCACUACUGCAUACCCAAGGAUCCCAACAGACAUUGAACCAAGAACAAUACCACCCCAAAGCAGUACUGUUGUUUUGAAGGAAAGAUCUACAAUCAUCUGAUCUUUACUCAAGUCAGACCUACAAAAGACAUGACAAUUUCCAUAAGCAACACUUCCACAGGAUAGAAUCAUUUGAUAAUAUUUUUAAGCUAUGCACACUCAAAUAUCCUGCAAGCAAAAUAAAUUGUUGAUUAUGAUGACAUUGUAAAUCUUUAUUGUAAUUGAUACACAUUAUCUUUUUCCCACAGAUAGAUAGGAGCAUCCAUUGUAAUUGUUCUAAAUCCCUGUGAUUCAGCGAUUUAUGUCUCUUACUCAUUGUAUAUAUUUUUCAAGCUAUCUAAUAGAAUUAGUUGUUUCAACUUGGUAUCUGAGAUCUAAGGUUCAGUCUCAGUUUCUGUUUUCCAGCCACUCAGAGCUACAAACCCUAGUAUAGUCAUCGGCUGUGCAAGGUGACAACUAAGUUUAUCUCAGACACCACUGUCCAGUCAUCCCCUCAAGCACCGCCACCAGAAUAUAAACUGCUGGAUAGAUAUGAAGUAUAUGUAUUUCAACCAUGAGGGUAGUGUUGAUUAUGAUUGAUAAUUUGAUAUGGCCUGUGAUUGGUAGCGUAAAUUAUUGUUGUAACUGAUACCCAUUAUUUGUUACAUAGAUAGGAGCAUUCGUUAUAAUUAUUCUAAAUCCCUGUGAUUCAAGGAUCCAUGUCUUCUACUCAUUGUAUAUAUUCAUAUUAGACUGAGAACAUUUCUCAAGCCAUCUAAUACAAUAAGUUGUUUCAAGUAAAGCAUCAUUAAUUCAAUAUUACACAGCAUUAAAACAUCAAAUUGAAAAGGUGCAGCACCACUUUAACAUUUUCUCAUAGUAUUUGUCCUACAACAGACUACAGUAUCAUGUAAUUAAUAAAUAAAAAGCAUUGAACUAAAUCAAAUUGAACAAUCUCCACUACCACUACUACCCAACAUAUGACGAAGGUAAAAGAAGAUACCCAACAUAUUGAUAAGGCCAAUACUAAGCCACUUAUUAAAAACGUGUAUAAAAGGGGAAAGAGGAGAGUUUGGAUAGAAUAACCAACUUUCCCUUCCUACCCUUGGGUAGUUAGAAUCAGUUAACAAGAAUCCAGGGAUCCUUGAGGGGACAAAACCUGUACUCCUACUUCUAUUCUUGCUUAAAUUCAAUAAAAGUACUAGAACCCUAUCAGAAUCGUGUUGAUUCUGAGUUAGGGGCUUUUCCUUUCAAUUUCUGUUCUUAAUCUCUUCUACAUAGAUACCAGUGUCUAUCACUGGUAUCAGAGCACCAUUCUGGUGCCUGUGGGAGGACUUCACGCUGCUGUUGGGAGGAUUUUUGGCGUAUGGUCUCUACAAGAAGUAUGGCUAGAGAAAACGAAGGUGGAGGGACUGAAAAGGAGGAAUUUCGUAUGAGGAUGGAGCUGAGUGAAGCUCGUAUUGCAAAAACAGAGGAAUUGUUGGCUGCUAUAGCCAUCAAAUUAGGAGUUAGCACCAGUGAGAAAGCAGAAGAAGGGGGUAGUGAAAAUGAGGAGGUGGAUAGCCAUAAGUGGGAGCAACAUCAAGAAAGGUGGAGAAAGUUGGAGAUCCCCAUCUUCUCUGGGGAUGAUGCGUAUGGCUGGGUGCAAAAAUUAGAAAGGUAUUUUUCUCUAAGAUCCAUUUCUGAAAAAGAAAGGAUGAAAGCUACGUUAGUUGCUUUGGAAGGAAGGGCUCUGAGUUGGUAUCAAUGGUGGGAAGGUUGUAAUCCAAGACCUUCUUGGGAGGGAUUCAAGUUGGCAGUAGUUAGAAGGUUCCAACCUUCUAUGGCUCAAAACCCCUUUGAGCUACUUCUCUCCUUGAAACAAGAAGGGGGAGUAGAGGCUUAUGUGGAGGAUUUUGAGAAGUAUGCAGGGGCCUUGAGGGGGCUCCACCAAGAUUUUGUGAGGGGAGUUUUCCUAAAUGGUCUCAAGGAAGAACUCAGGGCAGAGGUCAGGCUGUAUGAAUUGAAGACCUUGCCAGAAGUAAUGCAGAAGGCUAUCUUGAUUGAACAGAAGAACUUAGUGAUGAAUAGAAGGCCUUCUUGGAGCCUUCCCAAGACUUCUGGAUCCAUUAGGACCAAUUCUUACAGUAAGGUGGUUACUGUGGAACCAAAUUCUUCAUAUUCCAGUAAGAAGGAGGCUUCUUCUGUUGGAAGUGUGGCUGCACCUUCCAGGGUUUAUCCAGAGGCAACCAAUUCUAAAUCUCUAGGGGAAUUCAAGAGGUUAUCCAAUGCUGAGAUGAAAGAGAAAAGGGAGAAGGGUCUCUGUUUUAGAUGUGAUGAACCAUUUUCGAGGGAGCAUAGGUGUAGGUUCAAGCAAUUCAACAUGUUACUAAUGGCUGAUGAGGAGGAUGCAGAAGGAGAAGGGGAGGUGGAGGCAGAAGGGGGGAUAGAGGUACCUUCUGAUUCUUUACAACUCUCUUUGUACUCUAUGAAGGGCCUCACUACAGCUAAAUCUUGGAAGAUCAAGGGAAAUUUAUGUGGUACCCCAGUAGUGGUCAUGAUUGAUUGUGGAGCAUCCCACAACUUUAUUUCAAGGGAGUUGGUGGAUCAGUUGCAAUUGGAGAAGGAAGAUACUAAAGCCUACCUUGUGGAGGUGGGUGAUGGGCAUCAAAUAUCUUGCAGAGGAAGGUGUCCUCAAUUAUUGUUAAACCUACCACAAAUUGAGGUAACUCAGGAUUUCUACCUUUUUGCUUUAAAGGGAGUAGAUGUAGUUUUGGGUCUGGAAUGGUUGGCUAGUUUGGGAGAGGUAAGGGCAGAUUUUGGUAGGAUGAGUUUGACCUUGAAGAAGGGUGACUCAGUUGUUAGCAUUGUGGGAGACCCUGCCCUAACCAAAACAGAGUUAUCUUUAGGUGCAUUCAUGCAAGUUCUACUCAAGGAAGGAGAAGGGAUUUUGCUGCAGUAUGGUGAUUCUAAAAGAGGGGUUGAUAAAGGAGAGGUUCCUGUGGAAUUAACAGAGGUGUUGCACAAGUAUGAUGAGGUUUUUCAAGAAUUGCAGGGACUUCCCCCUUCUAGGCAGUGUGAUCAUGCUAUACACUUGAAGGAGGGAGCUGAUAUACCUAACCUCAGGCCCUAUAGGUGCCCUUACUACCAGAAAUCUGAGAUUGAAAGAUUGGUGGCUGAGAUGUUGGAGGCUGGGGUCAUCAGGCCUAGCAUAAGCCCUUAUGCCAGCCCAAUUAUCUUGGUGAAAAAGAAGGAUGGUGGGUGGAGAUUUUGUGUGGAUUACAGGGCCCUAAACAGAAUUACUAUCCCCAAUAAAUUCCCUAUACCCCUCAUUGAAGAAUUAUUAGAUGAAUUAGGGGAGGCUAGGGUGUUUUCUAAGCUGGAUUUGAAAUCUGGCUAUCACCAGAUCAGGAUGAAAACAGAGGAUAUCAAUAAGACUGCUUUUAGAACCCAUGAGGGUCAUUAUGAAUUCAUGGUCAUGCCAUUUGGGUUGACUAAUGCACCCUCAACUUUUCAAUCCCUUAUGAAUGAUGUCUUGAAGCCAUAUCUCAGGAAGUUCACUCUGGUUUUUUUUNNNNNNNNNNNNNNNNNNNNNNNNNNNNNNNNNNNNNNNNNNNNNNNNNNNNNNNNNNNNNNNNNNNNNNNNNNNNNNNNNNNNNNNNNNNNNNNNNNNNAUUUCCUAGUUUCCAACUUGAGGACAAGUUAGAAUGUUUAGGGGGGAGUAUUGAUAAGGCCAAUACUAAGCCACUUAUUAAAAACGUGUAUAAAAGGGGAAAGAGGAGAGUUUGGAUAGAAUAACCAACUUUCCCUUCCUACCCUUGGGUAGUUAGAAUCAGUUAGGUAACUAACUGCUAUAAAUAGCAGAGUUAGUUAGGGAGAAGUUAGCUUUUGUUUGAGAAUUCAACUGAUUUAGGAAUCAGUGAAGAACACAAGGAUCCAGGGAUCCUUGAGGGGACAAAUCUUGUAAUCCUACUUCUAUUCUUGCUUAAAUUCAAUAAAAGUACUAGAACCCUAUCAGAAUCGUGUAGAUUCUGAGUUAGGGGCCUUUCCUUUCAAUUUCUGUUCUUAAUCUCUUCUACAUAGAUACCAGUGUCUAUCACAUAUGAUGAAGGUAAAAGAAGAUAGAUUUUGCCAUGAUCAACAAAAUAAUAGUUUAUUUAAGGAAAAGAAACUUAACAGAAAAUAUGGUAGAUCUUUGCUUGGCUUAAUUUCAGCAAUUCCAUUUCUUAAACUGCAAAGGCCAACAGCACUGAUAUCCUUCCCCAAAGGAAGAAUUUUCUCUUCAUCUAGUAGUCCAACCUUCAGAAAAGAAACAUCAUAUGUCAAAAAUUCAGCAAUCAAUAACUGUGAUAUACUAAUGGUAAACAAUCUUGCUAGAGAGUAGAGGUGAAACUCCCAAAUGGAUAAUUGAAGAGUGAAAUAACACAAGUAUUGAGAUUGAUCAUAAGUCAAUGCUAUCAAUUACAGAAAGGCAUUGAGAAUCUUAACUCACCGGAUAUUCAUGGCCAAAAAGUGCUUGCAAGAAAGUAUAAGGAGAAGCAUUUAUAGGUUGCAACUUAUGAUAAACUGUAGUCAGAGGUAAAGGAUGUCUUGAUCCAUCCAAGUUGACAACAACAUAUCCACUAUUUGGCCGUCGCCCGACAUCAAUGAGAACAAAAGGCACCUAGAACAUAAAUAUGACAUAAGUACCAGAACUCUCAAACAAAUAAAGAUAACAAAAGAGAUAAAAAACAAAGAGACACUCCAUCAAGGUUGUCAAGAUCAAGAUCUUAUGGGAAACAUGUCACAAAUAUAGCUCGAAGAUAAGAAGUCCAUCCAUAAUAUAAAUAUGCAAAUAACCAUAAAAUCACAGACAAAUAUUCAACUAAAAUAAUUAAACAUAUUCAAAACGUUUGGCAUUUUCCACUAAAAUGGGUUAUUCUAAGCUAAAACAUAUCUAAGGUGCAUAAUUUUGAUGCAAGAGAGUGAGUUAUAUAGUAUGAAAACAACUAAUUAAUUAUGGAUAUUAAAAAAUCUACUAGGACAUCUGAGCUACGGAAGUCCCCAUGUGUACUGCACAGGAUAGGAUAGUAACUUCACCAUUGUUAUCAAUGUCAAAAUAUGGCGACUCUAUUCCAAGGUUCUGAAAACUGAAUCAGCUAUUGAAGCAAUCAUGGGACUUAUUAAAUAUUAUGUAUUCACUAUAUAUAUAUGUCACAUGACUACUUAAAAAGUCACAAUGUCAUGUGUAUCAUUUAAUCUUGAUGAUACAAAUUAGAAUUUAUUUACUUGUUGCACAAUAGCAAGGCUUCGCCUAAAAUGAUCCCUAUAAUAUCGAUGAAAAUUACUAAUUACAAAAUAGGGUCCAAAUGCUUUAUUCAAGCUUAAUAAAUAGCUUCAUAACAAGAAUGACAUUCAACGAUAUUGGCUAAUAGAGCAUUCCUUAAAAGUCUCACAUCAGAAGAUUUACUGCAGCAUCAAAACUUUCACCAAAUGUAAAACCCCAAGAAAUAGUAAUCCUUUAGGCACCUAUUCUCCGACCCAAGUUGAGUAUCAUUUAGAUUACUGCCUAUGCUAAGCCAGCAGAAUAGCUGGACUAAUGGGCCCUUAUGAUGCACAAAUACUCCAAAAUUGGUGAUGAGUCUGUAUAUGAUACCGAUACUCGUACAAUGCAAUUGCAUCGCAUUCUUGGCGUAUCCAUACUCAUUUUUGUGAAUACCCUCGAAGUACCACUACUUCAAAAAUACAUGGUACUAGGGUGGUGCAGAAAACAAGUGAAGAAGAAAAUUGAGCAAGGAAGAACAUGUGGGACUUGAGUUGGGAUAGGAUAAACACAUGCGGAUAAAUUAUACUAGAAAUUUUUUGAUGCACUGUGAACCUGAAUACAUAACAAAAGUUGUGUGUUACCUUCCUUAAAGAUGUGGACUCUUGUUUUCUCCAGGAUCUUGUAAAUAUAGCUCGAAGAUCAGAAGUCCAUCCAAAUAAGCCCUUCCAUUCAUUGUAUAUACACUUCAUUACAUUUAAAAAUUUAAAAAGAAAAUACAGUUAGUUUUCUAAUUCGCCACUAAACUGCAUGGGAUAUAAAUUGGAAUAAAAUUUAUACUGUUUUGAACAAUGAAAAAAGUUACCACUCCAAGACAUGAAAAAACAAUUUAAUCAAAUCUCAAAUAAGUAGCCACAUAUCGUUGUAAGGAUAUUAAUGAUUCAAACUGUUAAAACUGAUUACCUAUCCUUUUCUUACAAACCAAUAUAGUUACUCAAGAAUAAGAGCACACAUUGCUAAUAACACCUUAUGGCCAAAACAUUAUAAUAAAUCUAUUCAUAAGACAAAAGGUGAGUCUACAGAGACCUUGGAAAGAAGCAACCUGGGAAAAAGUGCAGCUAUAAAACAAAGGGUAAAUUACAAUGACCAACUUUGAGGUUUAACUUAAUUAUACCUAAUACCCAUCUUGUUUCAAGAGUCAUACACUCACUCAUUUCCCCUCAAGCGUGGCCAAUGUAAUUUCAAUCACCACCUCUAAGGUGAGGUAAGUUUAAGGAUAACAGAUAACAUAAAUCUCAAGGUCUGUAUAAUUUCUAAAACAAGAGUAGUACCCACUACCAUGUGUAAUUGAGCUAAACUAGUGUUUUAAAUUGCAUUCUUCAAUUGCAAUGGUGGCCACAGUAUUGCGGUUCAGGAGUCUCCACACAGGUACUGUGGCUGCAAUUUUCCACAAUUACAUUAAACACAACAUAACCGCCGCACCCGCAAUUUAAAACACUAACCUAAAUAUAUCACAAAAUCAAUCAAUGAAGGAGCGGUUGAGCUAUUUGCAGAUUAAGGGCAUUGGUUAGGAGGAGCUAGGCAGCUUUUAGCACGCGAAUAGAACGGAGUGAAAUAUAAAGGAAAAGAAUAUUAACAGAAUGAUUCUAUUUUAUACCAAAAUAUUCAACUCUGUUCUGAUUAUUAUAAAAUGCAUCAACUAUGGAAUAAAACUCACGUGUUACCAAACAAUACCUAGGUUAAAACUUAGAAGUGAUUUUCACUCCAAAAUUUGAACAAUUGCGAGCAAACAAAAUUAAACACCGAACCAAAGUUACCGUUUGAGUUCUUUGAAUAACAACGGCUUUAUCACCAGACUCGCGAGAAACCAAGACGCCGGGCAUCAAGGCUUUCCAGCUACCGUCAACGGCGGACUUGGCAUCAACGGUACCACGUACAAUUACUAUUUUACCAUCGCCGGAAUUUCCGUCCUCGUCGGAGCUCUCGGUGAGGAUAGAACGGAGGUCAGAGACAGAGAGGGAAGGUGCGGUGCGAAGCUUUCGGAGUGCGGCGGAGGUGGCGGUGAAAUUGAGAAGGGAACGGACGGCGGCGUAGGCAAAAGCAAAGCCCAAAAUGGCGCCAUCGAAGGAAAGGGCAAUCUGAGAGAGAAGGGAUACUAGGGCUUGAUCCUGAGAGGACAUUGACACUGUUUGAUCAUCAGAGAAUAACGAAGGGGCAUUGACGUCGUCGUUUAGAGAAUAACAUGUAGCAAUGGUCGGGUCCAAAUUAGGGUCUGUUAUUCCAUCAAAUCUAAAGGCCCAUAGAUUGACACGUGUCUUGGUUCCUUAAACUUUUUGUAUGUACCCGUUUAGUGUUUGGAAAAUUGGAAGAAAAAAAUGUACAUAUGAGAGAAUUUUUUAUUUUCUCAAAUACAACUAAUAAAUUUUUUAUAUUAUUAGUAUAUAAAUAUUACACUCUAAUUAGAAAACCUAAAUUAGUAUGUGAUUUUUUGUCUGGAGCCUUUUUUUUUUAAUUUCAAAGAAGUCCAAGGACUAAUGCGAUUAAAAAAUAUUCGCAAGACUAAAGUAUAAUUACUUAAAACCACCCCUUAACCCUAAACUAACAGGUUAUAUAAAGCCCCACUUAGCACACCUAAGAGGCAACUUAUCCUAAAACACAUAAGCAAUAGUUUUUUUUUUUAAAAGGGGUAGAGAUUAGCAUAGAAAGAAAAAGCAAUAAAGAGAUAGGAGAUUUUUUUUUAAAGAUAACAAAAUGAACCUUCUAUAUUGAGAACCAUCAUCUAGAGGCAAUUUCAUUAGGUUCACUUCUUACCUUAUUCUUUAUUCUCUAUUUUCUUUUGUUAGUUCAUUGCCAUAUUUUCAUUUUUUCAUGAUGUAACAUUAUUUGCAGUAAAAUGCCCUUUUGUUUUAUUAUUCAUUAACUCAAAGCCUGAAUCCUAACAUGGGCCAAAAAGAAGUGAGGUUUUAACUCCAUAGGCAGUGUCGCCUUCACGUCAUCGUGUGGCUCGAUCACACCAUGCUUGGUCGUCGGCUCACAACCAGACCGUUAAGCAAACCCCAUUUGGUCUCAGCGGCAUGUCACAGUGUUUCCGACAUGAUGCCUUGGCCCUCAAGGUCAGUCCCGACGGCAACACACGAACUCUGUUUGGGCUAUCUCGGCCAGCUCCGCCUCACCGCGGUGAUACCUUACUCCCAGCGGGAUGUCUUUUCCCCUUCUCUAGCACCGACUUUGCCAUAAAAAAGGAACCUGGACCUUCAGUCCAGGUGGGGAAGACGACCCCCAUCCUUUAUAUUUUUUACAUUUCUAUUCUCUUUUUUUCAUUUUAUUUAUUUAUUUUAAUUCUUAUUGUUUUAUUUAUUUAUUCAGCAUAUAUUAUUUGUUUAUUUUUUGUCAUGUACUAAUUAUCUUGUUUCAUACUAUGAGUAAUCUUAUUUUCAUUUGGGUCUAGUUAUAAUGUUCAUAUUUGAUAUAUGUGUAUAACCAUUUUAGGUUGUUGUUUGGUAUUAGGAUUAGGCUUAUCUCCUGCUUGAUUUACUUUUUUUUAUCCAUUCCUUUAUACUUUUUAUUAUUUUUAUAUUUUAUAGUCACUUGAAAAUUCAUUAAACUAUCAUAAUAAAAUAACAAAAAUACGUAUAUUCUUUUACCAAUGAUUCUAUUUUUUACUCGAGCGUAAAAAUAGUGUUUAAGGUAAGAAUUUGGGAGAUCGGUGAAUGAAUUGAACCAUAUCUUCAUUUCCAUUCGAAUAAAAAAGCGGUGAGCGGUUGUCAUAUUAUUUUUUCUUUCUAUGAUAAUGAGAUUGACGAUAGAUGAUAGAUGGUAUGUGUCAUCCUUAUCUUCUAAAAUUCUUACCCUAAUUUUUAAUAACAAAUUCCAUUUGACAAUUUCAAAAAUAAAAUAAUCAAUUAGGUCAUUAAUGUCACUUUUGUAAAUAUCAAAGCUGUCAGUAAUUAAUAUGUGUCAUAUUUAUUUAAAUCAUCAAUAAAUAAGAUCUAUUUUCUGAAAUUAUAUUUAAUGUGUGAAUCAAGGGUCACAAUCAUUAUUAUUUUAUGGUAUAAAUCUUUAAAAUAGUAGAUUUUUUUCAAAAAAUUAAUUCAAACAAAAAAUAAAUUUUUUAGUUCUAAGAUUAGAGAAGAGUAUCAACUUGGGUAUUAUUUUAUUAUCCUAUUAGUAGGAAAACAGUGAGCGGUUAUCGUACUGCCUCUUGUUUCUCUCUAAUAUUGAUAAGACAAUAUAUACCAAGAUCUUGUCUCAUUACUCUAUUUAAUUAAAAGCGGUGAGUCGUUGUUGUAUUGUCUCUUCUUCUUUUUUAAAUGCGUAAAGUGAUGUAGGUCAAAGUUGUAUCCCCUUCUUAACCCUAUCAGUUGAUAACUUGAGUCCUAUUUUUAUUAUCAUAUUUGUAAUAAAUCAGUAAGCGACUAUUGUACUGCCUCUUCUUUCUCGCUAAUAUGGAUAAGACGAUAUAAAUCAAGCCAUUAUCUUAUUAUCCUAUUUAAUUAAAAGCGGUGAGUGGUUGUCGUACUACCUCUUCUUUUUUAAAUGUGGGAAUAAUGAUGUAGGGUAAAGUCGUAUUUCCCUCUUUAACCAUACUUACUCACAACCAUCUUACAAAUUUCUCAAAUCACUUUUCAUAACUAAAAUUAAUCCAACACGCCAAAUAUUUUUCUACAAAAAACUAUGUAGUCUUGAUUUCCCUAUUGCACAUAGGGAUACGUUGGAACAAGAUGAACUAUUGGCAGACACAAAAAUAAAAAAAUAUCUUUUCUUUCAAUAAAAAUUACUUGAUUAAAUAAGCUUUUGGGUAUACUUAGUUCUAUGCGAUUUAUGCGGGUACCGUCUGAUAACGGGCGAACGUGGUGCUAAUACCUACCCUGAUCCGUAACCGAUUCCCGAGUGUAGAGUUCUUGUUCAAAGGCUAAUCUAUCCAAUAUUUGGGCACAAAAGGGAUUUCUACGUUUUUACCGUAAAAAUGUGGUGGCGACUCCCAACUAGUUGUGUGACCGGUAUUCGGCCAAAAAUCGGGGCGCGACAGCUGGCGACUUUAUUGGGACAUCCUAAGAGAGUCAAGCCUAAAGCAACGCAUAAAUUCACAUGUACCCCUUAAAGCUUGUUGUUUUACUUUUUUUAUUUUAUAUAAGUUAUUGUGUUUAUGUAUAUGUUUUUGAGGUUGUUUUGUAGCAUUGGGGGUUUUAUCUUUAAAAAAAGUUUGUAUGCUUCUCACACGCAACAUAUAAAUACAUAGUGCCUUCACACACACAUAUGUUCUAUACUCGGGUAUUAGAGAUAUCUCUUUUAUGAUUAGAAGGGACAUCUGCCUUACAUGAGCCUAAUCUUGUAUUGGCGUGAUGGACCGAUCAGAUUAUUACCGGUAUCAUAGGUUAGAUGCUCGAUGGGGCUCGAUUCCUCACGUUUUUAACUUAUGAUAUUUGGGUUUCUUUUCCUUCACGGGAGGAUGCAAUUUGGUGACUUUUUAGGAGUCCAGAACUUGUUAAGGAUUCCACUUUAAACAUACCCUACCGUCCCAUCCUAGGAAUGUGUCCUAUAGUUGUAUCCAUCAUAAGACUUGUCCAUGUGAAGCACAAGAAACAUGCUUCUACCCUCACAUUUUUUCUUCCAUUAUUUGGCUCUUCAUCAUGAGUUGGAACUUACCAACACCAUCACUUAUGCCUAAGUGAUAUCAUAGUGUUUUAACGUCUUUCUAUCAUGACGACGACAUAUUCAUAAAUAGACUCAUAAUGGGACCUCUUAUCCCAAGAGUGAUGUUAUAAAGCAAGGGGCAAGAAAACCAUUGUCCCUAGUCAACCUGAACGAUAUGAAAUAAGUCAAUCUAUCAUGGUAACUCUUAUUUUGUAAUGAGGUUGUGUUUCCUGUGGACACGCCGUUGACCUUAGGGCCUGCACUUUGCACUUAUGAUUUGGCACAUUCUUAAACUUUUGCACUAUCAUGCAUUCAUUUAUGGCAUUUUACUAACUCUUGUCUCAUAGUUUUUUCCAGGUUUGUUCGAGAGAUCGUCUUCAUAUAACAAAGUGACAAGAUGACCUUACCAAUUCAAGUCUCUACUAGUGUUUUGUACGCAAGAAAAUGUUCAAAAGUAGAAGUGCAUAGUAAUGAUGUCAGUUUCUUGAUUGCAUGCAUAGAAUACUAGAUGAGAUACAAGAGCUGUUUAUGAGAGAGUAUGGAAGGUUGAUAGAUCUUAUCCUCAUACUUGUGGACAAUGUGACCCUAAAAGCUAUGGCCACCAUGGCACAGUAUUGGAAUACUGGACUAAGGUUCUUCGAAUUCCCAAAUGUUGAUGUCACGCCUACUAUCGAAGAGUAUGAAAUCUUGCUAGAAAUACCAAUGUCGGAUAAACUGAGGGUAUAUAUGUUCACUAAACCUAUGGAAGUUAACGAAGAUACUAUUGAAAAAUUUCUAAAGGUGCAACCUGAACCAUCCAGUAUUAUAAAACAAGCCAUAACUCUAGGUCUCAAAUGGGUAUUUCUGAAAAAGCAUAUUUUCAAAAUGGAAGAGCAACAAAAUUGGGAAAUGUUCAAACCAGCAUCUGCUCUCGCCAUUUAUGGGAUGGUCAUGUUUCCCUUCUUUAAUGACAUGAUAGACCAAUCAGCGUUCAAUGUUUUCUACAAGUUCAUUCGCUUUGAAGUCAACCCAACAUCUGCCGUACUUGCUGAGUCUUUUCUAUCAUUUUAGAAAGGUUAUUUGAUAGGUGGUAAUGAAAUCAGGUGUUAUGUUCAGCAGCUCUACAUAUUGAUGAUGACACGUUUCAAGCAUCAUUCCUACGGUCUAGGAAGUCGUUAUGCGCUUAGGAGGUUUAAGAAGGUUUCCACAAAAGAAAUACAACUUAGUAAAUGAGCGAAGCCCCCCCCUCGAAAUUUUGGAACCAAGUGUUGCUUGUAUGAUCACCAUGAGAAAAUCAUGUAUUCUUGUAGAGGUUAUCCUAAUAUGAUACUCAUGGGACCAAGAGGAUGUAUUGCUUUAAGUUAGCCCUAAUACUUGGGCAACUGAAGUGGGGAAUAAAUCGAAUAAGAGAUGACCAGUUGUAGGGGUUCCUCUUUUGGUAAAAGGAUGAAGUAGCUCCUGAAGGGGCUGUAGAAUCAACAAGGAAGGCUUUACAACAAAUCCGCUUAUUUGGAGAAAACAAGUUGGGGGAGCGUAAGACUUUUUACACCGAAGAACACAAAACCUAGAGGAACGAGAGAAUCAGAAAGAGUUGUAUGCUAGAGCCCACCUUGCCUAAAGACAAUGGAGGCCCCUCACUAGAUGAAAUCAUGUGGCGUGAAAAAUGUAAACUCUUGGAAGCUCGUUUAGAGGAGGCAAGAGAUCAAAAUAAGAAAUAUGAGUUUACCAUUGAGAAGCUCCAGAAGUCCAGCAAAAAUUUACAUGAGGAGGUAGCCAAAUCUAAGAAAUAUGCUAGAAUGUGCUCCAAAUCUAAGAAGUUCAAGUUGAUAAGAGAAAACAAUGAUCUAAAGCAAUGGCUGAAAGCCAAAAGUUGUGUUGCUAUGAAUAAUGUGCAAGAAAUGAAGAAAAUGAGAGAAACUUCGAGAUAAUCAUGGUUGAUCUUGAACAGAGUUAGAAAGAGGCUUCUUAAGCAAUGAGCACAACAAGGGAUUACCAAGCGGCCCCAUAACAAGCUCAUAGAAGAGGAGUAGAGAUGGUGGCAAACCAUCAGUUAGACAUGGAAAGGACCAACCAUAGAAAAAAUCGACUUACUGCUGAUUUGAAAGAUCUUACGGAGGCAUACGACAAAAUCUUGAAGAAAUAGAAAGAAUGGACCGCAGGUUGGGAUGAAACUCUUAUGGAAUGUGAAAGGGCCAAAGAGCAAUGGCAAAGAAGAUGCAACGACGUGAUUAACGGGCUCGAGGAUUUUGUAGAUGAUUGGUUACAAAUUGUUGGUGAGGCUAGAUGUGAACUCAAUGCAAACCUUAACAUUAAUUGAAGACCAACACUAGAAGCAUUCCUCUCUAAUUAUUCCAAAGUAGCCCGACAGUAAGAAGAUGGAGGAAGGAAAGCAACAGAGAAAUUCAUUUCUAACAUUUAUUUGUACUUGUAAGAUUUCGAAUUAGAAGCAAGAGGAAUAAAAAUGUCUAAUGUAAACUACCUUUACUUUGUAUGGUCUUUCAAAAAAAUGAAUGAAAUAUCAGAAUCUUUUCAUCUUCACUCAAGGGCAUCACUUAUGUACAUAAAAAAAGAGCUAAAUGGCACAAACUACUUAUACACCACUACAGACUAGUCUUAAGAUGCAAUCUUGGUCCGAAAUCUAGUGUUUCCUCUAAAGAUUGUCAUCAAUCACACGCAACCUAGGAAUAGUGCUUCCUAGUCAUCAAAUGCGGGAUGAAGUGUUUUUUUUUAUAUUGAAGGGUUUCUCCACAAGCCAGGUAAACCAUUGCCUCAAAGCACCACUAUAACACUCGGUUUCUAGCAAAGAAAGUGGCAGAGUCUAUAACCAGUAAGGACAACAUGUCCGAGUUAGUAGAACUUAAGGCGUAAAUGAGUGAAAUAUUCAACAUGCUCAAGGCAUUGCAAAGUGAGAAGAGGGAAAACACUUAAACUAUCAAUGUGGGACCAUAGAGCAAUCUCGCUCAAUUUCCUAAGGGGCAACUCUGGUCAAGGAGCUGGUACAAGCAUCUAAGGGAAUAAGCAAUGAAGUGGCCCUUCUAUGGGAUGCCCUUUAAUUAUGUUCCACUUUAUGAGGACGAGCUUAAUAAACCUUACGGUCAAUCUAAUGCUCAUCUGGAGCAGCCAACACCUAAGGUGAACAUGAACAGGAUGAUGAAGACGCCACCUACGAACCCUCUCAAAAGGUUGCGGUUAAUAGGUCUGCACCACACCUUCAAAAUUCUAUAACAUACCAUAGGACAACUCUAGGGCCCUAAUUUGGUGACAUUGCUAGAGCAGAAAAGUUAAGCCUAAUUGAGGAGAGGCAUAGAGAAAUAAAGGGAGCGAGUUUUCCAGACUUUAAGAAUGCAUUUGAGAUGUGCCUUGUGCCGGAUGUGGUGCUACCUCCAAAGUUCAAGGUGCCUGAAUUCAAAAAGUACAAUGGGACGACCUGCCCAAAGAUCCACAUGCACAUGUAUGUUCGCAAAAUGUCGGCUUGAGAGGACUAACAUUCGAACAUUUCUAGACCUGUCUAACACAUUUUUUUGACAAUAGAAAUACAAUAAAGAUGUUGCACCUAAUAGGACACAAUUAUAGAACAUGUCCAAGAAGCCUCAAGAGACCUUCAAAGAGUACACACAACGUUGGAGGGGAUUGACCUCUCAAGUGCUUCCAAAGCUAGAAGAAGAACAACAACUCUAUUUUUGUUGACACUCUGCAAAAUCUAUAGCCUUUGUCCUCAAUGCUCUAAUAAGAGUGGGAGAGAAGGUCGAAAUAAGGAUCAAGAACGGGAAGAUUACAGAUGACCAAGCAAAUACCAAGAAACCAGGGUUCAUGAAGAAGAAAGAAGGCGAGACAUAUUUUGUAUAUAACGACUCCAAGAAGCAAUCAGACAAUAAUUAUCAAUACCAAACCUACACAAACAACUAAAGGUAAGAGAAUGGUGUUUGAUCUUAUCCCCAUGCCAGAUGCAGACAUAUUCACAUGGGGCAAAGAAUUAUAGCCCUAAUUUCGGGAAGAAUUCCCAAAAAUCCAGGGCCACGGUUCAACCCCAAUAUCUCAUACGCAUACCACUCUAGAACUGUGGGGCAUUCCAUAGAGAAUUGCAUAGCCUUGAAAUUCAAGGUACAACACCUCAUCGACUCGAAAUGGCUCAACUUUAGACAAUCGGCGCCAAAGUCAAUAAUAAUCCUCUGCCAAAUCAUGGGAACCAUGAAGUAAAUGUUGAUGAAGAGGCUCAAGAGGAAUCUUUCCUGAAGGAUGUGUCUGAAAUACACACCCCGAUGAAAGUUGUCUUCACGGAAAUGUGCAACCAAGAUAUGAUUGAGGUGUUAAAAGAAACUGCAGAAGGUUGUGAGAUGCAUGGUUUAGUGGGCCAUGAAAUUGAAGAUUGUGCAGAAUUCAAAAUUUUGCUACAGAAAAUGAUGGAUACCAAAUUGGUGGUUGUGGGGAGAAGAUCUACAUGCCCAGAAGUCAAUAUAGUAGGAGACAAUGAAGAUAUAACACCAUUUGUCCCAACAUUGGUUCAAUUCGAGCUAGUGUUGAUAUUCCAAGGGGUAUUGUAAGACUGAGAUGACAACAAAGAGAAGAGGGGGUGAAUUAGUUGUCUUAAAUCUUUGUCAGAUUUUUAUGCAAUUAUCGGAGUUAGUAACAGCGUAUAAGUUAUGCAAAAAAUUAUCAACAAAUUUAAAGAGAUAAGGGAGAAGAGAGUACUAAGAGAUUUUUAUACUGAUUCACCUUCUUGUCCACCAAAGGUUACGUCUAGUACUCUUGCAGCACAAGAGAUUUCUUCAGUAGAUAUUAAGAGUAGCAAUUACAAAUUCUCACCCCGAGAUUUCCUUGUACCUUACUCACUCUCUAAUACAUAUAUCACUCUAUGGAAAAUAACCUUUCCAAGUGACUCUAUCCCCUUUCUUAUCACACCCUUGUGAAAGAAAGUAUUUAACAAAUUGAAUGAAGAAAACUUUAACUAUGGCAAGGAUUGCCUUUACAAGAUUUGAAACUAUGAACUCUUCCAAUCCAAUAACUCUUUAUAUACACUUAAUAAUAAUGCUCAUAAAGUUUAAAUAACUUUGAAACAAAAGUUAGGGCAACUUCAGAAAAUAUAUUCUGAAAGUUAAGAACAAGUUGCAAAAAGUGCAGAGCAAGUAUUUCAGAAAAGUUUAGAUCGUGUAUAUGAGUUGUGUGUUUAUGAAUUAUAAGUUUCAGUGUCUUUAAAUAGGCUUUCCAAUCAGCCAUAACACCUCUAUGAAAAGGUAGGAUUCAAGCGGAAAGAAACCAUUUCGUUUGGGGUGAAAGUUGUGCAGUUUGAAUAUGAAAACUGGUGCAACAGCUCUCAGUAAUCGAUUACGAUAUUGACAUAAUUGAUUACCCAAACAUUUUGUCCAACCGAGUAAUUGAUUAUCACAUAGUGUAAUCGAUUACCCAAAGGAUGUAAUCAAUUACCCAAACAUUUUGUCCAUUUAAAUAACUGAUUAUCACACUGUGUAAUCGGUUACUCACGAGAUGUAAUUGAUUACCCAAGUAUUCUGUUCAACUGAAUACUUGUAAUCAGUUACUCAAAUACGUGUAAUCAAUUAUCAUGUUCAGUUUUUGUUGGGUAACUCAUUUCUAACUCAUGUAACCUAUUACUUAGUUCUGGUAACCCGUUACUUAGUCACAGUAACACGUUACUUAGUCACAGUAACACGUUACUUAGAUCCAUUAACCUGUCACACAGUAUUUUGAAAAUUGUUUUCAUUUAUACUUAUAGUUUUCAAUUUUCUCUUAAAAUACUUUUGAGCAUUGCUACUAUUUGUAUAUAAUAGAGUAUAAGGAUAGAAGUACCUAUAGACUUAGAUUCUAAUUUCUUGAAGCUUUAUCUUCAUUAUCUUCAUAAGUAUUAUUCCUUUUCUUCUUUAUAUGAUGUUGGUGUCUUCAUCAAAACUGUGCCAAGGUCAGGAGCAAGAUCUUCUUCACAGGUAUAUCACUAGAUUUGCCUCAACCAUAGUGGUUCUCAUACCUCACAAAAAUGGAGGUUAUAGUAACAGACAUACCUCACCCAUUUCCCUAUGAAUCAGACAGAGUAGUACCUUCGAGGUAUGGUGGGCAAGUCAUCACACCAUCGGAACGUGCAUUAGAGGUAACCAACAUUGCUGCAGUCAAUAGAAUUACCCGGAGCGAUAGAGUCUAUGGACCUCCAGAGACAGGGAAAAACAUAGUCACCAUCUAUAAAGGGAAAAAGGAGAUUGAUGCUCCAACAAUCCCUAAAAUUGGCAAGGAGGGAUCGCCCAUGGAUGAGUUGAAAUAUGGCCAAGAGAUUUCUAAUGAGCAAGCUAGUGAGUUCCUCAAGUUUAUAAAGAAAAGCGAAUAUAAGGUGGUUAAUCAGCUAAGGCACACACUUGCUAGAAUAUCCAUACUUUUGUUGCUAAUGGAUUCGAAGCCUCACAUGAAUGUGCUACUUAAAAAAUUUAAACCAGGCCCAUGUUAGUCAAGACAUAACUAUAGAUAAUUUCGGUGGUAUUAUGAAUAACAUUGUUGCUGAUAAUUUUCUAUCCUUUAGCGGUCAGGAAAUGCCAUGUGAAGGGAAUGGCCACAUCAACCCUCUCUACAUCUCUGUCAUGUUCCAAGACUGUGUGAUUGGAAAAGUCCUCAUAGAUAAUGGUUCAUCUUUGAAUAUGAUGACUAAGAGAAUGUUAUUUAGGCUCUGUGUCAACUACUCAUAAAUGAGGCUAAGUUCUAUGAUCAUUAAGGCAUUUGAUGGGUCCAAGAGAGAGGUCAUGGGAGAAAUUGAAUUACCCGUAAAAAGUGUGAUGGACAUAAACCCAACAUAUAGUUGUUUGUUAGGUAGACUAUGGAUUCAUGUUGCAGGAGUAGUUCCCUCAACCUUGCAUCAACGAAUCAAAUUCAUCAUUAAUGGCAAGUUAUUGAUAAUAAUAGGUCAGGAUGAUAUGCUAGUAUCUUGGCCCUUUGAUACCCCAUAUAUUGAAGCCGCCAAAGAAACACUCGAAACCUCAUUUCAGGCUUUGGAAUUUGCUAACACCAUAUUUGUAGAAGAAGAAGCUUCGAUUAUGAGGUCAUAUCCAUCUGAAGCAGCCUUAAUGAUGAUCAAGGUCAUGAUUAAGAAAUGAUACCAGCCAGGGAAGGGCCUAGGAAAAUAUGGGUAGAGGAUAGAAGACAUAGUGAUACUCCCAUAAAAUAAAGGGUGUUUCAGUCUGGGCGAUAACCCAACCAGAACCGACAAGGAAAGGAUAUCAGAGCAGGCAAAAAGGAAGAAGUAGGCUCGCAUGGGGCAGUUUGAGUACAAGAAGCCAAAUUUCCCUAUUCCACACUUCAAGCCAAGUUUUGUCAGCGUAGGGUUUGAGUCUUAUGAUUCGUUCUCCAUGCUUGAAGAGAAAUGCUCAUGUUAGUCAGGGGAUUAUGUUUUCCAUUGCACCCUAGGUACAAUUCUCUCCAACUGGGUUUAGGUCGAAGCACCAUCAUCAGUGUUCUGGGAAGACAAAUAAUCUAGUGUUAUACAUCAUUAGCCAUUCAUAGGGCUAUUUGAUGUUGUUGUUUCUUUCUUUAAGAUUGAAUUUUAAUUUUUCAUUUAUGUACUGGUACAAUUUCAAUGAAUCAAUUCAUGUAUUUGCAACUUUCCCAUCAUAUAUAGCACUAUACCAUACAAAUGUUAGUCUUUUCGUUUAUGUUUGUUUUCACCCUUUAUUUCUCAAUUACUUUCUUUCCAAAAACAAAAAACAAAAAAAUGACCAAUAGAAUGCCAAAAAAAAUUAACAUAAGAAAAAACAUUGUCCUAUUGUAAUGGAGAUCUGAAAGUGAUUCCAAAAAUAAUGACCAUGUUAACAAUCAUUCUUUUAACUUUGAUCAUCCUGUAAACUUGGUAGGAGAGGAAGAUAGUGAUGAUGACUAGGAAGCAUCUCUUGAGUUAUUAAGAUUGGUUGAACAGGAAGGCAGAGAGAUUGAACCCCAUGAUGAGCCUAUUGAGCUAGUAAAUCGAGGAACAGAGGAUGACAAGAAAGAGAUCAAAGUAGGCACUUUGAUGGACCCGAGUGAAAGGAACAAGCUAAUCAAAUUACUACUUGAGUAUAAAGAUAACUUCGCUUGGUCAUAUAGCGACAUGGCGGGUCUAGAUUGCAGUAUAGUGGAGCAUAAAUUACCUAUAAAACCUGAGUCUCCACCGGUCAAGCAGAAAUUAAGAAGAAUGAAGUCAAACCUUUCUCUGAGGGUGAAAGACGGAAUCCAAAAAUGGUUAGCAUCUGAAUUCAUAAAAGUUUCAGAGUACCCCCGAAUGGGUGGCAACUCUGGUCGUUGUAUCAUAUAAAGAGAGGAAACUUCGAAUAUGUGUUGACUAAUGAUAUCUCAACAACGCGAGCCGAAAAUAUGAUUUUCCAGUGCCCCACAUAGACAUACUAGUGGAUGGCACAGUAGACCAUGCACGGUUCUCAUUCAUGGACGGAUAUUCUGGUUACCACCAAAUCAAAAUGAUAGAAGAGGAUGUAGAGAAGACCAUUUUCAUCAUAAUGUGGGGAACCUAUUGCUAUCAGGUUAUGUCAUUCGGUUUAAGAAAUGUUAUAGCCACAUAUUAGUGUGCCAUGGUCGCUCUUUUCCAUGACAUGGUGCAUAAAGAAGUUGAAGUCUAUGUCGAUGAUAUAAUAUGCAAAUCAAAGACUAAAGGGGAGCAUAUGUGAAACCUGCAGAAGCUAUUCAAAAGAUUACGAGAUUAUAACCUCUAACUGAACCCCGUCAAGUGUAGUUUCGAGGUUAAGCCAGUUCGAGUUCUUGGCUUUAUAGUCAGUCAGAAGGGCAUUGAGGUAGAUCUGGAAAAGGUGAAAGCUAUCACUGAGAUGCCUCCUCCUAGAACAGAAAAAGAAGUUAGAGGUUUCUUGGGUCGGCUGAACUGCAUCUCCAGAUUCAUAUCAAAGUUGACAACUACAUGUGAGUCCAUCUUUAAGCUCCUAAGAAAGAAACAAAUCGUCAAGUGGAAUGAAGAAUGUCAAAAGGCUUUUGAAAAAAUUAAGCAGUACCUAUUAAAGUCACCUGUAUUAAUGCCUCUUAUACAUGAACGACCAUUGAUAAUGUACCUAACAGUAUUGGAUGACUCUAUGGGGUGCGUCUUUGCUCAACAUGACAAAUAUGGCAAGAAAUAGUGGGCUAUCUAUUACUUGAGUAAGAAGUUCACAAACUGUGAGACAAGGUAUUACUUGCUCAAACGAACAUGUUUCGCCUUAGCUUGGGUAUCACGUUGGCUGAGGCAAUACAUGUAAAGUCCUACUACGUGGCUUGUGUCUAAAAUGGACCUAGUGAAACUUAUUUUUGCGAAACUAAUGUUGAUGGGUAGAAUUGCCAGGUGGCAAGUACUAUUAUCAGAAUAUGACAUAGUCUAUGUCACCCAAAAGGUGAUCAAAGGAAGCGCACUUGCUGGCUACUUAGCCAAUCAACCGGUAGAAGGACAUGAGUCAAUGCAUCAAGAGUUUCCUGACAAGGGUAUCAUGAAUUUUUUCCUUAGAAGACCAAGAGGAAUCUUAUGAUAGGAGAACGAGAAUCUUAUGAUAGGAAGUUGAUACCUUAUAGAGAUCACAUACAGAGGCUAGUUGAACAAUUUGAGCAUGUCAAUUUCUAUCACAUCCCUAGAAAAGACAAUCGGUUGGUUGACGCAGUAUCCACCUUAUCCUCCAUGUUCCACAUCAGUGGAGAUGACCAACCUCUAAUCAGUAUAGGAAGCAGAGGUUAAUCAACUUAUUGAAAUACCAUAGAAAUAGAAGGAUAUGUUAAACCUUGGUACCACAAUAUAAAAGAAUACGUCAAGAGGAAAUAGUAUCUUCCAAGUGUCUCAGAUAAUGACCAAAGGACCUUAAGGAAAUUGGCCAUAAGUUUCUUCUUAAAUGAGGAAGUGAUUUAUAAAAGGAACCAUGACAUGGUACUCCUUAGGUGUGUCGAAGUAAAAGAGGCGGAUGUAAUCCUUACAGAUGUACACGAGGGUUUGUUUGGGACCCACGGAAACAGACAUGUCAUGGCUAGGACGAUAUUAAGGGCAGACUAUUACUGAUUAACCAUGGAGACUGAUUGCUGUAACCAUGUAAGGAAAUGCCACAAAUGUCAAAUUUAUACCAACAAUAUCAAUGCAUCCCCAAAUCCAUUGAAUAUUCUAUCAGCACCAUGGCAUUUCUCUAUAUGGAGAAUGGACGUCAUAUGACCCAUUAAUCAUAAAGCGACUUUAUAAGCCAAUAUUACCUGAUAGGUAGUGGUUAGGUUCAUUUAGAAGGAGUUGGUAUGUCGUUAAUGUCUACCAAGUAAAAUCAUCACGGAUAAUGCCACCAACCUGAAUAACAAGCUAAUGAGUGAGACAUGAGAAAAUUUCAAGAUCAAGCAUUAUACAUCUUUGCCCUACCAUCCUAAGAUGAAUGGCGCAAUUGAGGCUAUUAACAAGAAUAUAAAGAAGAUUGACCAAAAGAUGGUAGUAACUUAUAAUGAUUGGCAUGAAAUGUUGCCUUUCACCUUACAUAUAUACCACACUUUUAUUCGUACUUCCACUAGGGCCACGACUUAUUCCCUGGAAUACAGAAUGACUUAUUCCCUGGAAUACAGAAUGGAUGUAGUUCUUCCUAUCGAGGUAGAGAUCCCAUCAUUAAGAAUUAUUGAAAAGUCAGAAUUAGAAGAAAUAGAAUGGGUUCAAGCUCCUUAUGAUCAAUUGAACCUAACUGAAGGAAAAAAGGUAAGUUGUUGUGUGCCAUGGACAACUUUAUCAGUGAAAAAUAAUGAAAGCCUGUGCAAAGAAAGUUCACCCACGUCAAUUUCAAUUAGGAGACAUGGUAUUUAAGAAGAUUUUACCAAUUCAAAAAGACCAUAAGAGAAAAUGGACUCCGAAUUAUGGAGGCCUUAUAUAGUGAAGAAAGUUUUCUCUGGUGGAGCCUUAAUACUGACUAACAUGGAUGUAAAUGACCUGCACAUGUCGGCAAACACAGAUGUUGUGAAAAAGUAUUACGCCGAAAGAGGUUUUCCCUUGGAAAUGUAGUGAAGAAAUAUAUCAUAUUUCUCAAUCAAGGUUUUAUUGAUGCAUUAUACAUUGUCACUUUUAUUUGUUGUCUUGCAUGAGAAUGAUAUAAAGAAAACCCAACUGAUGUGAACGUGGAUAGACCUACUUAGUUUUGAUGAAGACUAGGAGUUAAAUGGAAGCUUAAAGACUUGGACGUCACCACAUGGACUGGAGAACCAAUGAGUGAAUAAGUUUUUGGAACUAAGAGGUAAAAUCUAUCCUUCGCUCAUUCGGGAAUUUUACAACAACUAUAGGUAUAAGGAUGAGGUUUAUUCUUCAAUGGUUAUGGGAAAAUGAUAGUAUUGGAUGAGGAACUCUUUCUGGAAGUUGGAGGUCUAACUAGUAAUGGACCAAUGUUAGGAGAAUGUAACAAUGAGUUGUGGGACUCAUUUGAUGUUGUUGAGAUGUACAAAUCAUGCAUAAGAGGGUCUCACUUGUUUGUACAAGGAGAAUUGACCAAAGCUGGGUCAUUAUCUAUUGAAAACGGGCUCUUACUUUACCUAAUUGCGUAUAUUUUAGUUCAAAGGAAUACAAACCAUGCUCAACCUACAAUCAAUGAUCUCAAGCUCAUGUUCGCCAUAAGGGAAGGCGUUAUUGUAAAGUGGCCUUUAGAAAUCUUGAAAGUUGUGAAUGGCAUAGCUUCGUCUUCAUCUAGGUUGCUUGUCUAUGGGAUUUUCAUCUCCCGUGUCAUUGACUACUAGGAAAUCUACACGUCAUAUGUGGACACAAUGACGAGAAACUCCCGAGAGCACCUUGUAGGUGACAAUCUUAUUCACAAGAUGGGCAUAUACAAGUAUGGAAAUGUAUGGAAAUAUCAAGAGGAUUACAAUGCCAACAUGAAUGAAAACUUACGAAAUGAAGACCGUGCUGAAAAUCCUCGUGAGCCAAAUCUUGAGCAAUCACAAAUUGAGGCAAAUGUUGAACCUCAGGUACCAUCGUUUGGGCUUGCACAGUUGGAUGCUAUGAAACUACACCUAAAUGCGAGAACUGAUGAUCAUUUUCAGUCCUUGAGAGACUUUAUGCCAGAUGAGUUCCAACAGCAACAAUAAAGAUUAUCGAAGGAGCUUGAAUGCUUCAGCUUCGUUAUGAGCACCACUCGUGGCUUUUCAUCACCACCACCACCACCUCAAGAGUAGCCUACAUAGGAUUUUCUAGAGUUUAGGGUGUGUGUGUUUGCUUUUGAGACUGUAUUUUGAUGUUGGUUGUAUUUUGUUGUUUCUGUUGAACUUACCUAUGUACUUGAUGCACUUAUUUUGUAAUGUCUUGUAAACUUUGUUAUUAACUUGGAUUAUGUUUCAAUUAUUAUGUGAGCCUUUGACCUUAUCUAGUUGUGUAUCUCUUCUAUUGAAUGGUUAAUAUGCUCUGUAUGUGAUUUAACCAAAAUCAUUAAUCAUUCUAUGCAAUAUAUGUCAAACUUGCACAAAUAGAUAUAUCUCGCAAUUAAUUUCUGUCAUAAUGUGUCUUUAUUAUGAAUAAUCGAUUAACUCCAUGAAAAUAAUCGAUUAAUGAUAAACAUUAUGCACUUGUUCAAUUGUUUUUAGACUGCUUAGUCGAUUAUCCUUGAAUAUUUAAUCAAUUUAGACUAGUAAAUUUUGUGUAUAUCUUUCCUUGCUUUUGGCUAUUAAUAUCAUACAUUAUCAUAGCUUUUUGAUCAUGCCAAAAGGGGGAGAAAGUGUUGUUUGAGUUGUUUCGCAGGUUGUAGUGAGCUUCCGCAUAUAAUCAUGAAAUGCUUCCUGUGAGUCACCUCUUACAUGUUUUAAGGGGAAGAACAAAGUGAGGGGGAGCACCGCAUUCCGAUUCAACCAUUGCAAACAUAUUCUGUCCAACAUCAAGCCAUCAAAAAAGUGAUAUGUUUCUGAGUUUGUCAUCAUCAAAAGGGGAAGAUUGAAAUGGUAAACAAUCAAAGUAUGCCAUCAAGAUUGACCUCCUUAGUUUUGAUGAAGACAAGGAGUUACAUGGAAGCUUGAAGACUUGGAUAUCACCACAAAAAAACAUACCGAAAACUCAAGGUCAACGUCCUAGAACUAUAUAUAUAUAUAUAUAUAUAUGAUAAGUAAGACUCAUGUAUUCGCAUUAGGCAUACAUGAUUUUGUGCAUAAAGAAAUCAAUCAUUUCAAAAAUCAUGAGCUGCACGUUCUUUCAUCAUAUACAGUGUAUACCAUACAUUUAGGAAAAACCAUUUUCACACAUUAUAACCGAUUAGCUCAAUUGAUAAUUGAUUAAAUCUUGUUAAAACCCGUUAAUCGAUUAAGGAAAUGGGUAAUCGAUUAAAAGAAGUUACAGUAGCUAACCUCCUAGGAUUUCUGGCUUAUUAAUCGAUUAAGAAAGUUAAUAAUAAAUUAAGCCAUAACUGAAAAUUGUUUUAAUAAACACAUUAAUCGAUUAACCACUUAUAUAAUCAAUUAAUAUCAGUUAGACUCAGUUAUAUACAAUAGCUGUUACUUUAAACAAAACACAUAAAGUUUUUAGAAAACAGAUUUCGAAUUUUCAAUUCAGAGACAGAGAGAAAAACUCAAGAUUCUUAUAGCUUAAUUGUCAAAUUUAUCCUGCUGAUCUUCGAGAAGUUUUUCUUGCAUUUUUGUACAAGAGAGAAAACAAAGAGAAAAAAGAUAAAUUCUUUUCCAAAAGUGCUGAAAGUUUUCAUUCAUUUGAAAAACCUUGCUUAAUUUUCACAUCUAGUUUUAGGGUUGUUUAUGAGAGCUCUGUCAGGGGUUGUAGAGUCGAAUUCAGAGUCUUUAUCCUCACAUUUGGUGUGCAAAGUAACUCGGCAGAUUUUCUAUUAUUCAAGGAUAAUUCUCGUGGUGUGUUGGUAUCAUCACAGUAGAGAAUUACUAGUCUUCACGAGGUAAGAAGUCUUGAAUCGAACGAUAGUUUCAGGUGGGGCCAGAUUCACGAAUGGUGUUGUAUCCUAGUAGGCAGUUAGAUUGGUCAAACCGAGCGUGUAGACUGAACGGGUUCAGGAAAGAAGUUCUUGCUAGGUGUAUUGGAGGUGUGGAUGUAAUCAAACAUACAUUUCUGAUAGUGAAGAAAAUCUCCCAAAUUAGCCGAGAGGCCCGAAUGUAGUUUGCAAGUGGACCCACAAACAAAACAGGAUAAAAAUCCUCGAGCAUCUUUCUCUUUUGUCUUUACUUGUUUUCCGUGUUUAAUUGCAUUCUGUGAUUAGUGCUAAUUGUUGUUAAUCUAUGAAUAAUCAAAAAUCAAUUUAGGUUGUAACAUUCAGAAAUCAUCAUUGUUUUCAUCACAAGAAAAGUAUGUUUUUCAAAGAAUCAAUAAUUAGCAUAAUCGAUUAACAAGCUAACUAUAAUCGAUUAAAUCAAAUGUCAUUAAUCGAUUAACCCUGUUAUUAAUCGAUUAACUGCAACAACUUUGUAUUAUGCGUAUAAAUUAGAAAAGCGGGAUUAGUGUCCACUACACCUAUUCACCCCCCCCCCUUAGGUGUAUUUUACCUUACUAGUACCCAACAAGUGGUAUCGGAGCUACAACGAAGGUGCUAGCUUGGCCGCUUAAUUCAUUGAUCCUAGGGAUUAUCACUAUGGGUUCCACUAACCCUUUCGACGGUGAUGGAGCAUCCAUUAACCGCCCUCCGAUUUUCAUUGGCGAGGGGUACGCCUACUAGAAGGUGCGUAUGAGAAUCUUUAUUGAGGAAAUCGACACGAAGAUUUGGGACUCUGUUGUCAAUGGGCCUUUUACUCCACUACACUUGGUGGAUGGUGAACCCGAAGAAAAACCAAAAGGAUUGUGGACAGACGAAGAGAAACGUAAAGUCCAGCACAAUCUUAAGGCAAAGAACAUAAUAACUUUUGCCUUAUCAUACGAUGAAUUCUUCAGGGUAUCAUAAUGCCAAAAUGCAAAGGAAAUGUGGGAUAACUUACAAGUAACCCACGAAGGCAAAAGUGAAGUUAAGCGCGCAAGAUGGAAUGCGUUAACACAUGAAUAUGAGUUGUUUCAUAUGUUUCAAGAUGAAUCAAUAAGUUAAAUGCAAACAAGAUUCACUCAUAUUGUUAAUCAUUUAAUUGCUUUAGAUAAGAGUUUUGCUAUUGGUGAACUUGCUAACAAAGUGUUGCAUUGUCUUGAUAGGAAAUGGUAGCCCAUGGUAACGACAAUCAUGGAAUUAAAAGACUUAGAUUCAAAGCCUCUAGCAACUCUCUUUGGCAAACUCCAGGAGCAUGAAAUGGAGUUGGGGCGCUUAACCAUGCAUGAAGAUUCAGACAUAAAGAUAAAAGGAAUCUCUCUAAAAGCUACAUCGUCAUAAGAACAAGAACUUAGAGAUUACGAAGAUUCUGAGUCUGAUAGAUAACGAAAUCUUAACUCUCCUAGUUCGAAAAUUUGGCAAAUUUCUCAAGAUGAAAGGAGGGUUCAAGCGUUUUCAAAAGAAAGAGGUGAGUGAUUCAACCAGAAGAGGCAAAGCUCCCAAAGAUCGCCUAAUUUGCCACGAGUGUGGCAAAGUAGGCCAUAUGAAAUAUCAAUGCCCGAGUCACGUCAAGAAGGUUGAAAAUGAAAAGAGAAACCCCCGAGAAUUUAAAUCCCAUAAGGCUUAUAUAGUUUGCGAUGCACCGGAGGACGAAACAACAACUAGCACAUCCGAUGAGGAGGUGACCGCCAAACUAUGGUUAAUGGAAAACACUCAAGAAAUGGAAGCACAAGUGAUCAUGAUGGCACAAGUAAGGUACAAUAUUUUGACACUUCUUCGUGCUCUGAUGAGUCUCCUACGUACGAUGAAUUGUAUAGUGCUUUUGUUGAGUUACAUUAGGAACUAAAGAAACUAGCUAAGGUAAAUAUAGAUAGGAAACGAGUCAUCAUGUUGCAUGAAAAUAAAAUAACUAAAAUGCAAGAGGAAUUGAAUGAAUUAAAACUAUAAAAUGAGACUCUAGAUCAUAUUUACUGUUCUGCCUCAUGUAGUUGCUUCACUAAGUUAAUUAAGACUCCUAUAUGUGACCAAUGUGAUAUUUUGAAUGCUAGAAUUUCUGAUUUAAAAUAUAAAUUAGCAAAGUUCAUAUAUAGUAGUCAUAAUCUGAACAACUUACUUGUUGCAUCUAGAAACAUAGGUAAUCAUGAAGGUCUAGGCUAUAAACCAAAGAAUAGAAGAAAACCAUAUAUAAGACAAGUAGCACACAUGCAUACUAGGUUUAAUCAUAACAUGCCUACUAGCUUUUAUUGUGAUACAUAUGGUCAUACAUCUACAUCAUGCUACAUUAGAAAAUAUGGUAUGUCAAGUGGCAAAUAUGUAUGGGUGCAAGAAGGACUACAUACCUUGAUUACUAACAAGAAGGGACCCAAGAUAACUUGGGUACCCAAACAAACCAAGUAAGCUGUUUUGUAUAUAUGCCUUCGGACACAAGGAAAACACUAAUAUUUGAUAUUGGAUGUUCGAGGCAUAUGACGAGUGUUCGAUCAAAAAUACUUGAUCUAACACUCAAGGAUAAAGUAAAUUAAAUAAGUAGCAUAAUAGUAGCUAUUCAAACAAGGUACGAGAUGGAAAAAUGAAAAAAAAAGACAACAACUAAUGCAUCAUCCUAAAAUUUCAACAAGGAUGAAAGAGGUAAAGCUAAAGAGGUAACAAAAUAUCGAGACUCAAUUGAUCCAUCGCUAUAUCUAAUUGUUAGUAGUCCUCAUAUCAUGUUUAAUGUAUGUAUAUGCACAAGAUACCAGACAUUACCUAAAGAAUCACAUGUUACUACUAUUAAACAAAUCAUGAAGUAUUUAAAACUUGAUCUUGAAUACAUGCUAUUAAGUCAUAUAUGUUGUGAAUGCAUGAUUCAUAUGCUCAAAUUAUCUUCAUGGGUGUUUUUGUGCUUCUUUAUUGUGUCAUAUACAUUUUAGGAUUAGUAUCUUAGGAACAACACUUUUGUAUACUCUAGAAAUCUACAAAAUGCAUUGAAAUCUGAGAUAGUUUUGUCAAUAAUCGAUUGUUCUGUGUUUUAAUCGAUUACUUCGAGUUCCAGUAACCAGAAUAAAUUUUCAUCUUUUUCUUAAUCGAUUAUCGCACGUAUUAAUCAAUUACAUGGGCCAAUUUUUUUGAAAAACUGAAAAUUUUAAGUUGUUUAAUUGAUUAUCGUGUUACUUAAUCGAUUACCUGUGCUCAAAAGUUUAAAACUUUUGAUCAUUUUUAGGUGGUUAAUUGAUUAACUACAAGAAAUAAUCGAUUAAUGGUAGUACUAUAUCAGUUUCAAGUGAUACUCUGGGUCAUUUCCACUUAGAACCCUAAACCCUCUUUGCUUCCCCGCUUCUGAACCAAUUCUAAAAUUGAGUGUUCCUAACCAAAUCAAUAGCUAAUUCACAUACUAUCUCAUAGUUCCAUCUUCCUACAACCCUCAAUUUCUACAAAAUCUGAAUCUUUCACCAUUUUUCUUUAUUAGAAACCCUAUAUCCCAAAUACAUAAAAUCGAUUAUUAAAUCAAAUAAUCAAACUUUAUACCUGAAAUUAUGAGUGAAUCACGUUCAAUGAAAGUGAAGCAUAGUGCCAAACGUGCCAGAGGCAGGGAAAAAGGUACUUAUUCUGCUCAAAGCGGAAGAAAGAAUCGCAGUGACCCUUAUUACCCUCCCAUUCUCCAAGAAGCUCAGUUGGCCAAGUUCCAAGGUAGAAAACAAACAUACAUCCGAUAUGCGGAUGCGAAGUUGGUGGCCGAACAAGGUUUUGAAUUCCCACAUGGACUAGAGAACCAAUGAGCGAAUAAGUUUUUGGAAUUAAGAGGUAAAAUCUAUCAUUCGCUCAUCCGAGAACUUUACAGCAACUAUAGGUAUAAGGAUGAGGUUUGUUCUUCAAUGGUUAUGGGAAAAUGAUAGUAUUGGAUGAGGAACUAUUUCUGGAAGUUGGAGGUCUAACUAGUGAUGGACCAAUGUUAGGAGAUUGUAACAAUGAGUCGUGGGACACAUUUGAUGUUGUUGAGAUGUACAAAUCAUGCCUAAGAGGGCCUCACUUGUUUAUACAAGGAGAAUUGACCAAAGUUGGGUCAUUAUCUGUUGAAAACCGGCUCUUACAUUACCUAAUUGCGUAUAUUUUAGUUCAAAGGAAUACAAACCAUGCUCAACCUACAAUCAAUGAUCUCAAGCUCAUGUUCGCCAUAAGGGAAGGCAUUGUUGUAAGUUGGCCUUCAGAAAUCUUGAAAGUUAUGAAUGGCAUAACUUCAUCUUCAUCUAGGUUGCUUGCCUAUGGGAUUUUCAUCUCCUGUGCCGUUGACUAUUACGAAAUCUACACGUCAUAUGUGGACACAAUGACCAGAAACUCCCGAGAGCACCUUGUAGGUGACAAUCUUAUUCACAAGAUGGGCUUAUACAAGUAUGGAAAUGUAUGGAAAUAUCAAGAGGAUCACAAUGCCAACGUGAAUGAAAACUUACCGAAUGAAGACCAUGCUGAAAAUCCUCGUGAGCCAAACCUUGAGAAAUCACAAACCGAGGCAAAUGUUGAACCUCAGGUACCAUCGUUUGGGCUUGCACACUUGGAUGCUAUGAAACAACACCUAAAUGCGAGAAUUGAUGGUCAUUUUCAGUCCUUGAGACACUCUAUGGCAGUUGAGUUCUAACAACAACAAUAAAGAUUAUCUGAGGAGCUUGAACGCUUCAGCUUCAUUAUAAGCACCACUUGUGGCUUUUCAUCACCACCACCUCAAGAGUAGCCUAGAUAGGAUUUUCUAGAGUCUAGGGUGUGUGUGUGUUUGCUUUUGAGACCGUAGUUUGAUGUUGGUUGUAUUUUGUUAUUUAUGUUGAACUACCUAUGUACUUGAUGCACUUAUUUUGUAAUGUCUCGUAAACUUUGUGAUUAACUUGGAUUAUGUUUCAAUUAUUGUGUGAGACUUUGACCUUAUCUAGUUGUGUAUUUCUUCUAUUGAAUGGUUAAUAUGAUAUGUAUGUGAUUUAACCAAAAUCAUUAAUCAUUCUAUGCAAUAUAUGUCAAACUUCAUCUAACCAUAGGAUCAUGCAUUUUAUUAUAACAUGCAUAACAUAUUCCGCAUUUCCAAAUAUUCUACUUACAAAAUUGUUUUAUUGAAUUUGUAUCAUGCUAUGAAAAUAAAAACUCUAACCCUUACAUCACUUGAUGACAUUCAUCUUUCAUCCAAAAGAUAAUAUGGUGCCAACAAAUACAAAGAAAUUCUCUACUCCAAUACAAUCAUGAGCGACUUCACGCGCUGAUCCCAAGUUGAUCCAGACAUCAUCUUAAGACCGAGUGUUAUGGUGCUAAGAAAGCAGUAACACGAUAUUUACUGCAAGAUGAGACUGCCCCCUGAGGACAUUUCCCUAUGAACUGAUAACUUAAGCAUUAAGUCGAAACACAUUCGCAUUCUUUUCAUACAACUCAUGUCAUAAAUUCUAUCAUUAACAUAUACAUAACUCAACAUAUAUCUCAUGCAUCAAUAAUAAUUUCAUGCAUUGCAUAGCAUAUUCCCAAGCAAUCACAUUCAAAACACAUCUUACUUGCAUAAUCAAACCCAAGGAAAGUCGACCAAGACUUUCUGAGCCAAUCAAAUCAUCUAGACCUAUCAACAUUGUCAGACUCAGACGCCGAAAUGUUAGAACGUCCUUCCUUGUCAAAAAGGACUUUGUCAAACUCAUAUAUCAAGAUGCUUUUCUUAUGAACCUAGAUUUCGGUAGUACCCCGACCUAUGUUCCUAGUGCUUUAAUGUCCCAAGUUUUGGCAGUACCCUGACCUGCAUUCUUAGUUUUACCUUCCUGAAUUCUAGUAGUUCCUGACCCGCGUCUUUGGUGUUCUCUUGUCAACCUAGGUUCCGGAAGUACCCCAACCUAUGUUCCUAGUGCUUUGAUGUCCCAAGUUUCGGGAGUACCCUGACCUGCAUUCUUGGUUUUACCAUCCCAAGUUUCGGCAGUACCCCGACUUGUGUCUUCGGUGUUCUCUUGUUAACCUAGGUUCCAGCAGUACCUCGACUAGUGUUCCUAGUGCUUUAAUGUCCUAAGUUUCAGCAGUGCCCCGACCUGCGUUCUUGGUUUUACCUUCCCGAAUUCUGGCAGUUCUCCGACCUACGUCUUCGGUGUUCUCUUGUCAAUCUAGAUUCUGGAAGUACCUUGACCUGCGUUCAUAGCGCUUUGAUGUCCCAAGUUCCGGCAGUACCUCGACCCGUGUUUUUGGUUUUACCUUCCCGAUUUUUUACAGUACCCCGACCUGUGUCUUCAGUGUUCUCUUGUCAACCUAGGUUCCGGUAGUACCCCAACCUGCGUUCCUAUUGCUUUGAUGUCCCAAGUUUCGGUAGUACCCCGACUUGUAUUCUUGGUUUUACCUUCCCAAAUUCCGGAAUUACACCGACUUGCAUCUUCGAUGUUCUCUUAUCAACCUAGCUUUCGGCAGUACCCCAACCUGCAUUCAUAGCGCUUUGAUGUCCCAAGUUUUGGUAGUAUCCCAAUAUGCGUUCUUGCUUAUUUCUCUAACCUCUAUCUUUAGAGGCACCAUUUGAUUAAUUUUCAGAGCAUGUUUUAAAUCAUUGUCGGGCUUUGUGACCGAAAAUUUUGCAACAUCGCCAGCUUCCAAUGCCAUACCAUCAUCACACGAGGAGUGUGGUCGAGCUCAAGCUUUAGUGUAUAUCCAACUUGAGUUGAUCUUUCCGAUUACCCAGUUCUAAUUGCAUCUUUGAACCGCAGCUUAGACUCUUGUCUCUUUUGCGGCUCCCCCGAACGAGGAGUGGGUCACGAUUAAAAAACACUCACAUGACUAAACUAUAAUAAUCUAAAAUCAUCCCUUAACCUUAACCCCAAACUAAAGGGGCUAUAUAAAACCCCACUUAGCACACCUAAGAUGCAACUUGUCCUAAAACACAUGGUUAACAGCGUUUUUCUUAAAAAAGGUAGAGAUUAGCAUAGAAGGAAAAAACAAUGGAGAGAAAGGAGGUUUUUCUUUUAAAGAUAACAAAAGGAACCAUCUUUUAUUGAGAACCAUCAUCCAGAGGCAAUUUCAUUAGGUUCACUUCUUACCUUAUUCUUUAUUUUCUUUGUUAAAGCUCUUUGCAUUUUUUCAUUUUUUCAUGAUGUUGACAUGAUGAGCCAAAAAGAAGUGGGGUUUUAAACCUGUAUGCAGUGCCACCUUCACGUCACUAUAGAUAAAUUUUAGUGAUGGAAAUGCCUAAUAACAAAAUCCAUGAAGACUUCUGUUUGCAUGAUUUAUAGAAUGUUAUUCAAGAUCACAACAUAAUUUUUUUAACUAUGGAAUUUAUUUUUGGUUCAAGAUAAUAAAAAGGAACACGAAAUAUCAAAGGGAAGUGAGUUGAUGUGCCUAUGACGUAUGUAUUGCAUCAAGCAUCCCUCGAGGUUAGUGAUGUCUUUACCAGAAUAACAGCGUAAAACAAGGUGUCAACAUGUAGAAGGGGAUCUUAAUGGUUAUGACUCAUAGAGAAAGACACCAAAAGAUUUGAAAGUUUUUAUGGGGGUUAUCCCAUAUGUAGCAAAUAUGGAAGAUCGUAUUAUCAAAUAACGUUUACUAAUUUAUGGUUAAUGAUUCAUCCAAAAAAGAGUAUUCAAUCUAUUCGACCAAUCAAAAUUUUCAAAUGGAUUAUUUUGGAUUGAGAUAUUUUUUUUCUUCUUCUUACAUAUUGGAUCAAUUAAUUUUCAAGCACAAGCUUAACCUAACCAAAAACCAAUGUCUACCACAGGCCUACGGCUUGCAUCGGCCUAUGCCCAACAUUGGCACUAACUCUAAUAUGGAAAUUGAGGUCACUAGGUGUUUAUGAUAUAUAUUUAUUUCAGAUGUUAUAUUAUAAGUGAUCUAAUUACUAGCAUCCUAUAGAUUUCUAAAAAAACUAAUAACGAAUAUGGGCUUAAUGAGUGGAUAACCUAUAGGGAUAAUGUGAACCGUAUAAGUUAACACAUAAGGAAGGUUAUGAUCCCCAAUACAUCAAAUCACAACUAAUUUUCACUUCUCCCCAUUAGAGAGAAAAUAAAGGUCCGAAAAGGAAUUGAGGAUUUGGUUGAGGAAGACCAUCAUACCAAAACUCUCUCAAAAGGUAUAUCAAAGGAGUAGAUCAGAGAAGAUGGAUUCAGGGAUUCAGGUAUGACUUUAUAUCCUUGUUUUAUAUUAUGUGUGAGAAUCAUGAUAUUCAAGAUAUUAGGAUUGGUAUUUCAUCAAUCAUUAGGAAAUAUCUAACAAGUGGUAUCAGAGCUACCAGGUUCUGAAUUUUAUGGUUCUCCAUUAAAGUUGUUUUUCCCCUAAUUUUUUAUGAACCCUAACUUUUAAAUUUGGAAAUUUUUAUGCUUCCGCUAUUGGUUAUGAAAUUGGGUAUUUAGGAAUAAUGAGGAUAACUUUUAUUCGCUUCCGCUUAUUUGAAUUAUGAAUCCUUGCAACAUGUGUUGAAUUAUAUAUUCAGAUCUGUACAUGAACAUUACAUUAACUUCUGUGACUCUGUUAUGCAAUAUUUAUAUUAUACAUUGCAUUGUCACACAUGUUCUAUUCAGUUCAUUCUCUCAAUUUUUCAUCUAUAUACAUUGCCUCAAAUUUCAUUUACUGCAUUGUUGCGUUAAAUUUUAUGUUGAUUUCAAUAUAUAUAUUGAAAUUUAAAGAACUUUUCUUUUGUUAAUGUUUAAUUUAGUAAAAAGUUAUUAAGGCAAUUUAUCAUGGCUUAUGACUUUCAUUUUUUUAAGCUUGACUUUUAUUAAAUUACACAUAAAUUCUUACAGUUGCUAUGGGUUGCACAAUUAUAUUAUAUAUGUUUGUACUUUUGUUGUAUUAUACACACUGAAUUUCUAUAUAUAUCUUUUAAGAUAUGCAUGAUCAUAUUUGAUUUGGAAUUUCGAUAAUACUUUGCAUUAUUAAGAUUGCAAUUUUAAAGCGUUGAUAUAUAUAAUAUAUCUUUUUUGCUUUGGAAUUAUAUUAUGAGAUUAGAUUUGUUAAUCAUAAAAGAUAUCAAAUCUCAAGGUUUUAAUUCCAAGAUCAUAAUUUUUUUUUUUGUAAUGGACCUAUAUUGUUUAUUUUUGUCUGGUAAUUAUUUUGAAGUAACUGAUACAAUAUAUUGUCAAAGUGACCUCUAUUGUGGAAAUUGAUUAAAAUUAUAUAUAUGAGUAUGAGAUUAUUUAUGCGAAUUGUGUUCGGCCCUAAGGAAGACACAAGGCCAAAUAAUAACAUACUUGUGAUGAUUAAUAUGUCACAAUUAUAAGUUUUUUUUUCCAUGUGAAUGAUAGUCAGUCCUAAGAAAGGCUAUUGUUUGACAGAACUAAUUGUUAAUAUUUGAUUAUUACGUUGAGAGUACCACUUACAAAUUAAUUUCUCUGUACAAAGACUAGAAACUCAUGUUGUGCUAGGUAUCUUGUGAUAGGUCUAUUAUGUGAACAUGUCUUGUUUUAUAUAUUACUUGACUUAUUUGUUUAAAUGGUUACAACACUUAUGGUUUGUUGCAUUGGUUGAUGGCUAAUUGCAUUAUUAAGUGGUUGCUAUUGUUGAAGCAUUGUUUCUGUUUUGACAGUUUGCCCUGCCAUGUUUAAUCAUGUUUAAAAUAGUAAUAUAUUUUUUUAUGGAAAAUUCAAAAUGACCAUUAUUGGAAUUCGAAAUACAGUCAUAACACUUAUGGUUUGUUGCAUUGGUUGGUGGCUAAUAUCAUUAUUAAGUAGAUGCUAUUGUUGAAGCAUUAUUUCUAUUUGAACAACUUGCCCUACCAUGUUUAAUCAUGUAUAUAAUGGUAAUAUUUUUUUUAUGGAAAAUUCAAAAGGAUCAAUACUGGAAUUCGAAAUGAAGUCCUUGUGAUGAGAAUGAUGCAAUGCUAUCAAUAGGCUAUAAUGAAUAUACCUAUUUAUAUGUCGAUAUAAAUAAGAUAUGUUUUGUAUUAAUGUUGUGUUGAAUCAAAGUCAACUAAAUGGUUUUUUUUUGGAAAAUAAAAUUUGUUUGACAUUUUAAGUGAAUCUAUUAAAUAUGAAGUCGCCAAAGUGAUAUAUUUUUUGUGAAUUGUUCAUAAUAAGUGUCAAAUGCUAGUGCAUAUAUGUAUCCAUGCGGGUAUUAACCGACCUAAAGGAAGAUUAUUAUUGGCCGGAUUAUAUACACACAUGUGAUGGUAAAUAUGUGAUUAUUAUAAAGUUGCAUAUAAAUGAAUGACAAAUCAGUACAAAGAAAGGUUUAUUAUUUGACAUGCAUUAUGAAUAAUGUUUGACCACAAACAAGAGUAUCAUUAGUGAUUGAUAUGAAAUAUCAAGCUAAUUGUAUGUUUGGAUUUUAUGCGAAUAGUGAUUGGCUCAAAGGAAGAUCUUUAUUUGGCCCAAAUUACAAACAUACUUGUAGCAAUAAAUAUAUAAUAAUCAUAUGGUUUUCCAUGUGAAUAGUAAGUCGGUCCAAAGAAAGACUUAUUAUUUGACUAGACUGAUUAUCAAUAUUUGAUUACUACAUUGAGUGUAUCACUUUCAAGUUAAUAUUUUGUCGAAAGACUGAAUAUUAAUGUUGUGCCAGGUAACUCGUGAUGUGCCCCAUUAUCAUUUGAAUUUAAGUAUUAAAGUUGAAUGUGAGUUUAAUUGCAAGAAUGAUUGCAAUUUUUUUUGUUCUUUUACUAGUGUUGCAAAUAUUUCUGCUCAAAUUAAGAACAUCUCAUUGCUAAAUGGGACAAACUUUAAGGUCUGGAAGGAAGCCGUAUAUAUUAUUCUUGGUUGUACGGAUUUAGAUCUGGCACUUCGGGUGGAGAAAUUGACUUCUAUUAUGGAAAUCCUCGAUGAGGUUAAAAAUUGAGAAAUUGGAAUACUUUAACUGAAUGUGUCUAAUGAUCAUGAAACGCUCUAUUUUAGGAGCGUAUCAAGGCUCUAUUUCCGAGGGUCAGAGUUCAAAAAAGUUCCUUGAAGAAAUAGAACCAUGUUUUGCCAAAAAUGAAAAGGCAGAGACGAGUAGCCUUUUAGCUAAACUCAUCUCUAUGAAGUAUAAAGGCAAAUGGAACAUAGGGGAGUACAUUAUGGAUAUUUCUAAUCUCUCAUCAAAACUCAAGUCACUUAAGUUAGAGCUUCGUGAUGACUUGCUCGUGCACUUGGUUUUAAUCUCACUUACUACACACUUUCGGCAAUUGAAAGUAAGUUUUAACACUCAGAUGAACUAUGUGCAAGAGGAAGAGAGACUGCAAAUAGAUAAGACUGAAAGUGUCCACUUAGUUAUGAUCUCUCAAAAUAAGAUAAGAAAGAACAAUAAGGAUGCUGUGAAAUGGCUAUUUGUGGUUUUUCCUCAGAGAAUGUGACAUUUUUCUUCAAUACACUAUGUCAGGCAAACCUAGGGCAUUGUUGAGCGAUUAAACCAAACUCUUAAGGAUAUGGUGAGAAGUAUGAUUAGUCAUUCUUCCUUGCUAGAGUCUCUUUGGGGGAGAGCUUUAAAGACCACAAUUUACCUCCUUAACCGAGUGCCAAGUAAAGCAGUUAACAAAACCCCAUAUGAGCUUUGGACUAAUAAAAGGCCAAGCUUAAAACACUUGCACGUUUGGGAUUGUCCGAAUGAAGCGCGGCCUUAUAGAUCGCAUGAAAUAAAAUUGGACUCUAGAAUUGUUAGCUGUUAUUUUGUUGGCUAUGUUGAACGCUCUCGGGGCUAUAAAUUUUAUGAUCCACUUCAAGACUCUUUUUUGAUAUGGGAAAUGCAAGCUUUCUUGAGGAAGUUGAUUUUGGGAAGGAAGAGAACAUACGGAAUGUUGUCUUUGAAGAAGAACCUGUCACUGAUAGUGAACAAGUUCUUGUGCCUAUUACCAUCAAGGAAUGAAUUCGGUAAUAGAAGAUAAUGUUCAGAAUAUUGUCCUUGACAAUAUUUCAGAACAAGACAACAAUGAGGUUCUCCCUCAAGUACCUAUAGAACAAAUUCAACAACCUCAAGAAGUAGAAGUGCCAUUAAGGAGAUCCACUAGAGAGACGAAAAAUGCAAUUCCUGAUGAUUAUAUUGUAUUUCUUGAAGAACAUGAGGAUGGCAUUGGGUUAACAGAACAUGAUCCAUUGAACUUUUGUCAAGCCAUGAAAAGUUCUAACUCUCAAAAGUGGAUUGAUGUCAUGAAGGAUGAGAUGAAGUCUAUGCAUGAUAAUGACGUUUGGGAUCUUGUCCAAUUACCUGUAGGUGCGAAACCUAUUGGUUGAAAAUAGAUAUUUAAAACCAAGAGGGAUUUGAAGGGUAAUAUUGACAGAUAUAAAGCUCGUCUAGUAGCUAAAGACUUCACUAAAAAAGAAGGCAUUGAUUAUAAAGAAACAUUUUCUCCAGUAUCUUCGAAGGAUUCUUUUAGAAUAAUAUGGCCACUAGUGGCUCAUUUUGAUUUAGAGCUACAUCAUAUGGAUGUGAAGAUUACGUUUCUUAAUGGUGACAUUAAGGAAACGAUCUAUAUGGUGCAACCAGAAAACUUUGUGUCAGUUGGCUCAAAGUCUAUGGUAUGCAAAUUAAAGAAAUCCAUUAAUGGGCUUAAACAAGCUUCUCGUCAAUGGAAUCACAAAUUUCAUCAAGUUAUUACCUCGUAUGGUUUUGAGGCAAAUAAAGUUGAAGAUUGUGUAUACCAUAAAUUCAGUGGGAGUAUAUUUAUCUUCUUGGUAUUAUAUAUCGAUGAUAUGCUGCUUGCUAGUAGUGAUAUGGGACUAUUGCAUGAGACCAAGAGAUUUCUAACGAAGAAUUUCGAAAUGAAAAAUCUUGGGGAUGCUUCUUUUGUAUUAGGUAUUCGGAUACUGAGAGAUCGCUCUCAAGGUAUCCUAAGGUUAUCACAAGAAAGCUAUAUAGAUAAAGUCCUGGAUAGAUUUGACAUGAAAGACACUAAACUAGGGGAUACCCCCAUAGCUAAGGGAGACAAGUUUAAUCUCGAACAGUACCCUAAUAAUGACCUUGAAAGAUACAAGAUGCAAAAGAUUCCUUAUGCAUCUACAGUAGGAAUUCUAAUGUAUACUCAAGUUUGCACACGCCUCGACAUAGCAUUUGUUGUGGGAGUUUUGGACAGAUAUUUGAGUAAUCAUGGAAUGCAUCAUUGGAAGGCAGCAAACGUGUUAUGCAUUACUUGAAGAGAACAAAGGAGUACAUGCUCACUUAUCGGAGGUCUGAGAAUUUAGAGAUCAUUGGGUACUUUAACUCUGAUUUUGCUGGAUGUCUAGAUAGUAGACACUCCACCCCUAGAUAUAUGUUUAUAUUGGUUGGAGGUGCUAUCUCUUGGAAGUCUGCGAAACAGGCACUUAUAGAUCCUUCAACCAUGGUUGCGGAGUUCAUGGCUUGUUUUGAAACAUCAUAUCAUGGCAUAUGGUUGUGAAAUUUUGUCAUUGGUUUACGUGUGGUUGAUGGUAAUGAAAGACCAUUGAAGAUUUAUUGUGACAACAAGUCCGUAGUUCUUUACUCCACCAACAAUAGGAGUUCUACAAAGUCAAAAUUCAUUGACAUAAAGUUUCUGGUUGUUAAAGAAAGUGUUCAAAAUGGACAAAUUUCCAUAGAACAUAUAGGGACAAAUUUUUAUGCUAACUGAUCCACUGACUACGGGUUUGUUACCUAAAGUCUUUCAUGAGCAUGUUGCUCAUAUGGAUGUUGUUCCUUAGGGUAUCUUAGUUCAAUGAGAGUCUAUAUGUUUUAUGAUUUACUUUGGAUGUUAUAUACAUUUUUUAUGCAUAAUAAAGUUGAUGGUUUAUUGUUCCAUUUUGAAAUUGUGCAUUGUAACUAUUGUGUUGCAAUUAAAGACUUUGGAUUGAUCUCACUAAAGAAUAAAGAAAGACCAAUUGGAAAUAGACAUGUUUGAGAUCACAUUGCAUGAAAUUUCCAUGUCACUCAUCCAUGUUUGAUCUAUGUCAUUGAGUAUAUUGAUAUGGUGAUCAUCGUGGUCAAGUCAUGCUUGCAUGUGAUGAAAGUUAGGUGAUUUCAUAGUUGAUAUAUGAAUGAACCAGAUUGUAUUAAGGAGAAGUCUAAAUGUAAAUAGCAUACGGAUGCACGUCUAAAGAACCUGUGAUAUAAUUAUAUCAGGAAGAUAUGAAGCCUAAGUGGGAGAUUGUUAGAAAUUUAUAAUUUCUAAUUAAGGCGAGCAUCAUAUAUUUGAUACAAUGAUAUCGGCUAUUUAUUUCAGGGGUUACAUUAUAAGUGAUCUAAUUACUAGCACCUCAUAGAUUUCUAAAAAAGCUGAUAACGGAUAUGAGCUUAAUGAGUGGAUACCCAUCAGGUUAACCUAUAGGGGAUACUAAGAACCCUAUAGGUUAACGCAUAAGGAAGGUUAUGGCCCCCAAUACACCAAAUCACAAAUAGUUUUUACAUCUCCCCAUCAGAGAGAAAACGAAGGUUCCAAAAGGAAUUAAUGAUUUGGUUGAGAAAGACUAUCGUACCAAAACUCUCUCAAAAGGUAUAUCAAAGGAGUAGAUUAGAGAACAUGGAGUCAGGGAUUCAGGUAUGACUUAAUAUCCUUGUUUUAUAUUAUGUGUGAGAAUCAUGAUAUUCAAGAUCCUAAGAUUGAUAUUUCACCAAUCAUCAGGAAAUAUCUAACAUUCAACACUACCCAUAUCUAACUUCUAAUAUCAACCUAGAUCCAACUUCAAAAAUUAGCUUGGACAUGACUUCCAUAUCGUUUGGAGUUAGGUGUUAACACGAGGUCAUGUUUAAGGUUAGUGUUAGUCUUUGUGUUAGGCAUUAGAAUCAAACUAGAGGUUCAAGUUGAGGUCAACUUCGAACUCAAGUGUCAAAGAAAAAAUGGUAAAAUAAAAUUAUCAUUUACAAUUAAAUUGAUUGGUGGAAAAUCCAUCUAUAAUGUUUUUAGUGGGUGAGUUUGAUUGAUUAUAUAAAAUAGAUCAGGAUAGGUUAUGUACAUUUAACAAUUAAUAAAUGAGUCAUGAAUGAAUUGAUGGUUUGCUUUAACCAAUCCACUUAGAUUAGUUUCAACUAGAACCCGUAUUAGUUAUCUCAAAACUUUGUCUUUAUUUUUGCCUCAUCCAUUUAGAUAUUGUGAUGUUUACCUCUUGGGUAAAAGGCUCUUGAAACGAUCUAUCUUGGUUGAUGUAUGGCCUAGGCUCACGGUUGAGUUAAGCCUUUGAGAUAUGCAGCGGAAAUAACUUGUGUUUUGGAUAAAAGAAGAUGGAAAAGAGAUGAGGUGAGGCGCCACAAACAAUUCAAUUGUUUGAUAAGCCAAGUGAUGCUCGCCACAAGAACUUGGUUCUUGAUAAGAACUUUUAAUCUUGGUUCAGCCAAGAAGGUUUGGAGAAUACUCUCACAAGGAUAUAAUCCUCUUUGAUUCACAAAGGAAUACAAUUUAGUUUGACUCAAAGUUGUUUAUUUCUCAACAUAGAACAUUACAUAUAUAGGCAAGCCAUCAAGGCUCCCUCGGUUGGAAACUAAGAGUGCAUGUCUUGCACGUUUACAUUGGAUACUCUAUAAGCAAUGAAUCUACUCCUAAUCUAGACUAAAUUCGAGUAGUAAGAGAAUUGGCACAUGUGCCUUAUUACAACUGAAAACAAACUUAAUGACUAGGCCAAUUGAACUUCAAUGCCACGGUUGGUUGAGCAUGGGAUUUCCCUCAACCUUAAUUGCACGGCUCCCUCAUUAAGUGAAAUGGUUAAGAGACUUGAAGAAUCCUUAAUGCUCACGAGCAAGCCUGGAUGAGCUUCAUAGGAUUCUUCUAAUUUUGGCACAUGGAAAAUGUUGGAUUUAUGCCUUGUUAAUGCUCCUCGGUUCCACUUGAAUGUUGGCAUAGGAUUCCUUUGGAAAGGAAUGAAUUUCCCACGGCUAAGUGUGGCUGAAGAGCUCAAUAAAUAUCAUAGGAUUCCGUUGGGAUGAGUUGGUAGGCUACCAACGGCUAAGUCAUGUGCAUAAAGCACCUUUAAUGCAUCAAUAAAGUCCCAAACGGCCAUAUGAAAUUUCUACACGAGCAACUUUGCUCCAACGACCUUAGAAGUGACUUAGGAUGCCUCAUAAUGAAUUAUGCUCAGGUGGUUUUGUUCCAACGGUCCAUACAUAGCCUUAAAGCUCCAUAAAUGCUCCUUUAAGCCUCUCCACGGUCAUCUUGAAGAUUCCCUCGAGCAAAUGUCUUCCAACGGGCAUAUUAGACUCUAAUUACCUGCCAAAUAAUAUUAGACAAUGUUAGAAUAAGUUUGGUUCACGAAAAUAUUAAGUUGGUCCAAGCAUUAAAGUGUCGGUUACACUUUUAGGCUUGUCUUAACUACUCGCGAGUCAAAUUUUAUUCUGGUUAAUUUUUAUGUGCAGAUUUAUUACAAACAUGCUUAAAUUAAUUAAACUAAGUGUUUGACAAAGGUUAGCCCACACAUUUAUUAUAGAAAUUAAAAUGACUCAACACUAAUUGAAUUGACUAGGCCUGACUCGGUCAGGCCACGCCCAGCGCCUGAUGCAGCAUGCUAGGCGCACGCGCCUCGGUCAGAAUUCCUGGCCAGGCCAGUCUGGCCCAGCACCUAGCGCAUCACUGUGCGCACCAAGUUCCCCAACCCGGUCAGGGUUGUCUCGGUCAGGAAUGGAGCCUAAUGCGUCUGGUUCCGUGCCAGAGCCAUUUUUGGCGCCUUGCCCAGACCCGUGGCCUGAGUCAUGCGCAUGGCCUGGUCCAUCCUUGGCUCGGUCAGAGCCAUGGACCAAGAUGCUAGUGAGCAUCUUUACACCCCCUUGGGCUAUUUUUGGUUCACCAUCAUGAAUCAACAUUAAGAGAUGUCCAAGGGCAUUUUGAACCCUUUUUGCCCGAGCCCUAGUCAUAGGGCCACUCAUGCCUUCAAGACCACCAAGAUCAAGAUUAGGCUCUUUGAGGAUCAUAUCAUAUUGACACAUGUAAAAUGUUAAAUAAGUUUUUUUGUGACCUAUAUUAUUAUAGUCUCUUCAUUACUGUUAAGUUCUUUCACCUUUUCCUUAAUUACAACUAACAUUCUUCUUUUCACAAACACUCUUCAUCACACUCCACACCUUCACUUUUUAAAAUUUUCUAGAGUAGUUCCUCAUGAAGUAGCAAUAGAUUAGUAAAAUAUGAUAUGUCAAGGACUAAAAUGUCACCAACUUUAAUUGCUAUUAAACACUCCAAGUUUAUUUUGAAACCUCGUUACCAAUGAAAUGAUUAUGUUUCAAGUUUAGAACUCGGAGAUGGGUGAGAGAGGUUCAGGAGAGGAGGUCCGUAGGGAUGGCAAUGAAAACCGAACUCAUGGGUACCCGUCCGAACCCAACCCGAAUUUAAUGGGGUAAACCUGUUAUGAUUGGGUUCGAGUUUUACCCGAUGUUAAUUUUCGGGUUUGGGUUCAGGUUAGGUAUGUGUGAUACCCUACCCCGAACCCACCCCGAACCCGCCCCGAACCCGCCAUUGAUUAAAUCAAGCUUCUCUAACCUUGUGUACACACAAAUGUUGUUGUUCUGAUUAUAGAUCUGAGAGAGAGAAUAGAGUUAAAGAUUUGAGAGAGGGAAUAGAGUGAGGAAGAGGAAGAGAGGGAAGAAGCCAAAAGUGAAGGUGAAUGUGGAUGAGUGUUAGAGAUUGUAAAUAUGACAUGGUUUUCUAUGUGAAUAAUAUUUACACAAUAAUUUUACAAGUUCAGCAAAGGUUUAAUAGAGAACAAGACUAGUUUCAAUAAAGUAGUAAUAGACCAAUAUUGGAUUUUUAAAAAUGAGACAUGCAGAAAGGUAUACUCAAAGUUUGAAAUUGGUUACCUGUAGAUUUCAAGUUGCGGCUACAGUUUGCAGAUAUUUUUUUUUUCGGAUUACUCGUCGGGUUCAGAGUUGGGUAAGCACAAACCUGACCCCUAUCCGCCGUGUUGCCAUUCCUAGAGGAGGGAACCUCAGAGAUAGAUAUUUUCGAGAACAAGUCUUGAGACACAGUUGUUGAUGCAAGAAACGCUGUCCCAAAGGGUAUCGCCACCAUUGUUCCUCAACAAAAGACAUAGAGAGAAAGAGGAAGGACGGUAAAAAAUGAAAGUUUAGAGUAUGAUGAAGAGAGCUUGUGAAAAGAAUAGUGUUAGUUUAUAAUUAAUGAGAAAGUGGGAAAACUUUAAUGAAAUGGGUAUAAUAAUAUAGAAUAAAAUAUUUAAUCAUGCCAGAAGAUAAUUUAUCUCAUUAAAUCAAGUCAUUGUUUGACAUGUAUCUUAUUUUCAUUCCAUCUAGAAGUUUUCAUUUUAAUAUAUAAUAAAAAAAAAGACAAGGGUAAUACAAUGACUGAAUUUAAAGAGAUAAGUUAUCUCUUAAUAUGAGGAAAGAUUUUAUUCUCGUAAUAAUAUGAGUGAGAGAAAAGUCAUUUUUAUCAUUUUCCACGCAUUAACAUCUGAAUGGACGAGACAAGAACAUAGACAGGGUUAUGGGGCAACUUACCUCGUUCUUUUUAAAUAGAGUAAUUACUCAUUUUGGUCUCUCAUCUUUUUCGUGGGUACCAAUUUAGUCUCUAACAAAUUUUAAGUGACAUUUUCCUCCCCAAUAAAUUCAACAUCGAGUCAUGUUAGUUUUUCCGUCAUCUCGGCUCUGUUAACUGUAACAGAUUUGUUCGCAUGACAUGUUAAUUGGUGAAGUGGCCUCUACUAGAUGAUCCUACAUGUACAAGUUGUCAUGUCAGCAAUCGAUUUUUUUUUUAAUUUUUUCCCUAAAAAAUUGACAUUGUUUUUUUAAAAUAUUAUUUUUAAAUAAAAUAAUUUAGAAUAAAAAAUUUAAAAUUCUUAUUAUACAAAAAAUGACAUUUGGCAUAGAAAAUUUUCGAAAAGAAAUUAAGAAGCAAAACGAUGUCGUUUUGCUUCAUCUUCUUCCUUCAAACUUCUUCACUCGUACACCUCCUUUCCUUCAAAUUUCUUCACCCGUACACCUCCUUUCCUUCAAACUUCUUCAACCUUCACACUCA
RNAcentral lists this long non-coding RNA (52253 nucleotides) under Lupinus angustifolius (narrow-leaved blue lupine). RNAcentral's name for it is "long non-coding RNA (LANG_LNC000258)". Lineage: Eukaryota; Viridiplantae; Streptophyta; Magnoliopsida; Fabales; Fabaceae. The record is from RNAcentral.